This is a non-coding RNA of Pelobates cultripes (western spadefoot toad), 88582 nucleotides long. NCBI's taxonomy places the organism in Eukaryota, Metazoa, Chordata, Amphibia, Anura, Pelobatidae. The record is from the annotation of a GenBank genome assembly.
ACAGAUACAAAAUAUCUCCAUAUACCGAGAGGGAGAGCAGGGGAGGGAGAGGGCGGGCACAACAUGCUGCUGGAAAUACAUGCAAAAGAGGGAGAAUAAACAGAAAAAGAAGGAAAAGCCUGAAGGGAAACCUCCUAAAGUCAGCCCAAAGCGAAUGGAUUGAGAGUCAGGAAGCCCUGGGUGGCCAGUGAGAGAGACACCAGGAGCCAAGAUGAAGGAGAAGGCAAUGAUCAAAACGGCGAAAAUGCAGGGGAACGUCCUGGUGAGUGACUACUGGGGGUAAACUGCAGGCUGUGAGAGACUACUGGGGGUAAACUGCAGGGGGAGAGAGACUACUGGGGGUAAACGUAAACUGCAGGGGGAGAGAGACUACUGGGGGUAAACUGCAGGGGGUGAGAGACUACUGGGGGUAAACUGCGGGGGGUGAGAGACUACUGGGGUAAACUGCAGAGGGUGAGUGACUACUGGGGUAAACUGCAGGAGGUGAGAGACGACUGGGGUAAACUGCAGGGGGUGAGUGACUAUUGGGGUAAACUGCAGGAGAUGAGUGACUACUGGGGGCAAACUGCAGGGGGUGAGAGACUACUGGGGUAAACUGCAGGGGAUGAGUGACUACUGGGGGUAAACUGCAGGGGAAGGUCCUACUGUCUGACUACUAGGGGUAAAUUGCAGGGGGUGACUACUGGGGGUAAAUUGCAGGGGAGACUACUAGGGGUAAAUUGCAGAUGAAGGUCCCAGUGAGUAACUGCUAGGGGUAAAAUGCAGAGGAAGGUCCUGCUGUCUGACUACUAGGGGUAAAAUGUAGGGGAAGGUCCUGGUGAGUAACUGCUAGGGGUAAAAUGCUGAUGAAUGCCCUGCCAUAUGACUGCUGUGGGGUAAGUGCAGAGAGGGGUACUGCUGUCUGACUUCUAGGGUUCAAAUUUAUGGAAACGUCCUGCUGUAUGACUGCUGGGGGUAGAAAAUGCAGGGAAGGUUCUACUGUUUGCCAAAUGGAAUACAAUGCAGGGGAAGGUCCUGGUCUGUGACUACUGGGGGUAAACACAGGGGAUGGUCCAGGUCUGUGACUACUGGGGGUAAACAUAGGGGAUGGUCCUGGUGAGUGACUGCUAGGGUAAAAUACUGGAGAACUUCCUGGUGAGUGACUUCUGGGGUAAAAUGCUAUGGGACAUCCUAGUGAGUGAGUGUUGGGGGUAAAAUGCUGGGAACAUCCAGAUUAGUGAUUGCUAGGGGUAAAACACUGGGCAAUGAUCUGGUGAGUGACUGCUGGUGAUGAAAGACUGGUGAACAUCCUGGUAAGUGAUUGCUUGGGGUAAAAGACUGGGGAACAUCCUGGUAAGUGAUUGCUUGGGGUAAAAGAAUGGGGAACAUCCUGGUAAGUGAUUGCUUGGGGUAAAAGACUGGGGAACAUCCUGGUAAGUGAUUGCUUGGGGUAAAAGACUGGGGAACAUCCUGGUAAGUGAUUGCUUGGGGUAAAAUACCAGGGAACAUUCUGGUGAGUGGCUGCUGAGGAUAACUUUCUGAGAAACAUGACAUUCUGUUGAGUGGAUGCUUGGGGUAAAGUAUUAGGGAACAUUGUGUUGAAUGACUGCUUGGGUUGAAAUGCUGGGGGACAUCCUGUUGAGUGGCUGCUGUGGAUACAUUACUGGGGAACAUACUACUAGUAAGUGACUCCUAGGGGCAAAAUAGUGGAACGUGCCUGUGAGUGGCUGAUAAAAUGUCAGAGAAUGUGGCUGUUGAGGGAACAUGUUGAAAAGGCUGCUGGGUUUAACUAGGCAACUAGCUGGGACAACCAGGACUUUACCCAGCUUACUGUGAACCUCCCUAUGCUGGCCAGUACUGGUAAUAACUAGAAAAAACUCACACAAUGUAUAGCAUUGAGUUAUUAAAAAAACAAACUUCCCAAAUAGUUUGUAGAACUACAACUUCUAAGAUGCUUUGCCGGCCUACAGGGAUCAAGUAACUUGUAAUUGUCCAAACAGCUGGGGAUCUACUUUUAUGGCCACCUUUAAUAUAUUAGAAUAAAUUUAAUUUUUUGUUGUUGUUUCAUAUGCAAAUGUUUUACAAUGUAUCCUUUUAUACAAUGUUUUAUAUAUGUUGUUGUUGUUUGCGUUGGGGAAUGUUGGAAUUGCGAAAAAUGUUUUUUUGAAAGCCGGGCACCUUUGUCACCCUAAGUGUUGAAUGACAAAUAUCAUCAUGUCCAGCCAGCCUGCCUUCUGUACCACCUGCAUUGCAAUACAGUCCCUAUCAUCCCGAGCAGCUCGAAUUACAACUUAAACUGGUAGAGGCUGAUUAAUUUGUAGGAUUGGGAGAUUCCAUUGUAGUUAGGAGACAUUUAAAAAGCAGAGGGACAGACAGAGAUUACUGUCUAACAUGUGGAGGUAUCUAAAUAUAGUAACUACAGGUGUUCGUAUUAAAGAGUUUGUCUUCUAAACUUGGGGUGUACUUGGUGUCAUUCUACAACCGCUGUGCUUGGUGUCAUUCCACAACUGCUUAAAGAUCAGAGGUUCACAAACUAAUUGAGAUGUCUCUAUCAAAAAUGAUGGACUAUCCACAGAGAUAUUUUAAUGAUACAGCUGUGUGGUGCGUCUUUGUUCCAGCUAGCGUUACAGAGGUUGCCAAUCUUGCGAGAGGCUUGUCUACAGAAUUCUGUAGUCAUAGUCAGCGUUAUAGAGGUUGUCAAUCUUGCAAGAGGCUUGUCUACAGAAUUCGGUAGUCAUAGUCAAUCUGCAGUUGCUGACAUUUUAAAAGUUCUCUAACAUUUGUUGUGUUCCUGGAAAUACUAACUUGUGGAGGUACCCCUAAAACGAGUUGUGUAUUUCUCAGCCUCUAGGAUCAGGGCAUUUGCCUUGUUCAUGAACUUUUGGAUGUACUUUGGCAGAGUUAGUUGCCAUUCAACAGCAGCUUAAUGUUUGUCUUACUAUUGUGGACUACUUUUAUAGAGUUUGAACCACAUCUCAUAGCUGACUCAACUAGAUGAUGUCUGAAGGACUACCUUCAUACCUGUAGGUUGAGGAUGUCUGAAUGACUACCUUUCAAUACCUGUUGGUUGCCAAAUUUGGAGUUGGGAAAAGACAUUCUUCUCGAGAGAUAUAUUGGACAGAUAAUAAGUUGAGGAUGAUGGUGUUAAGCAGCCGUAAACCAUUUAAUUAUAAAUAAUGCAGAAUCAAAUACGGAUUAUGUAUAUGGAUAAUUUUUAGGCUUGAUCCGUGUUUUGUUUUCACUGGUAACAUUUGCUGGAUUAAAUGACUGUAAUGCUGUUCUCAUUGAAUGCCUUGUAAGUAAGAAAACAUGAGUUAGCAAUCAUGCAGAUAAACGAUAAAUGUGAAGGGUGAUAAGAUGCUGAGGAUCUGCCAAUAGCUCAUAACUUCAAUGGACAAAACAAGAAAAACACUCCUAAAUUUAAAGCACUAGAGUACUUAUAAUUGUUCUUACAGCCUAGGCAGGUUUCUGACCAUAGUUUUUUUUAAUCAAGCCUGAAGUGAUCUCUCAGAAUGUAUAGCCACAGCCUAUGCAUUCUGAUCACUGAGAUCAUGUGACGAAUAGAGGUGGAACAAUCACCAUGGUUACAUUGGUACAUAAACAACGAUGACAUGUGAAAUUUGAUAUAUGAUAAUUUGUAUCUAAGAAUAUCUGUCUGGUCACGUGCCAUGAUUAUAAACUGUUGGGUAGAUGAUUAGGAUUGAUUAAUUAAUUGGGGUACCUGUAGUAUGCUACAUAACAUUGAAAAAUGCAAAAAAUAGCAAAAUUGCAAUAAUUGGUAUACACUUUACCCAGACAUGACUGAUACUUAAGCAAUAACGUUAUAGAUACAUCUGUCUUAGUAUAACAGUGUUUGUAAUUAUUUUUGUAUUAUUGGGAUUGAAUUGUGGGGAUCAUUCAAUAGAAAAUAUCAAAAUAGAAGUUUUAUAACAUUUAGGGGUGUUUUUCAGUAGAGCCUAAGUGGGCAUUCCACAACAGUUAAAAUAAUAAAUGUGGGGUCUUGACCACAGAACAUAGAGUUAUGUUCCAUUUUCAACAGCUCUGUCAUGGUUUUAUUUUCUUUAUGUCCACUGUAUCUUAAUGAUUUUACUCCCCCAUUGUCUCUUGGUUUUAUUUAUAUAUAUUAAAUUUUUUUUUCUUGUGCCAGAACUCAAUAUCUGGCCGCCGUAAUUUUAUUAUCCUCAGCCCAUGAUGUCUGCCGUUUGCCUUUCUGUGGGAUUGCUUAUACUGAAGGAUUGUGGAUAAAUGUGAUUGGCUGAAAUAAAGCCCCAUUUUGUCAACUUGGCUGCUAUACACAAUGUAGCCCCUACUUAUAUAUUUUAUGAAAACUAGACCACUCAGGAUUUUGAAAAUUGUAUUUAUUAGAUAAAGUUUACUUUUCGUGACAGAACUACAAUGUUUUUAAAUAAUUAAAUAAUAGCUCUUUUACAAUACAAAAAAAAAAGAAAUAGAGAUUUAAAUUUCCCAUGUGAAUAUGACCAGGCUAUACUCAGUGUAUUACAUUCACAGGUAACAUUUGUCAGAUUAUAGAGCAGUGAUGCUAUUCUCUGUGGUUUUAAACUAUGUAGCGAUUGUAGAAGUUUGUCGAUUGGAGGAAUUUGCAAAUAUGGCGAUAUUUGUUUCCUUGCAUUCUAAAUGGUUUACGUAUUUAACAAAGUGCCUGCUAUGCAUCGUAUCGUCUUUUACAGGUUGUGCAAGUUCACUUUUGCAAACAGUAUUAUGAUCUUCUGCUACAUAUGUGAAAAAAGAUUGUUUAUGCAUGAACUGUAAGGUGCAUGUUUGUUAUUUUCAGAUGAGCAGCAAAGACAACAUGUGGCGUAUUCUGUUGUGAUACCACUGGAUGACAUACUGAGUUCAACUUGCAUUAUCUGUAUAGUGUGAGAUCUGUUUACAUCUAUGAUACCACUGAACUAGACAAUCUAGGCUCAUAAAUUAUGCACCAUGCAAUUGAUUUAUGUUUAAACUGCAUAGUAUUUUCAAUUUAUUGCCUAUUUAUUCUGGUCACUUGAGAGGCCAAACCAGAAAUUGACGGUUUGCCAAUACAAACUGCAUUAAGCUGUGAGUUGUAGUACAAAGAGAUUUAAGUCUGAAAGCAAAAUAGACAGAACUCAUCCUAGAAUGAAUAGGGCCAGGAAGGAAUGUAUUGCUGUUUAGAUCCCGAUGGUUAGUCUUCGCAUCCUUAUAAUUCGAGUAAACUCUCUUACCAUUUCUCGCACACUGGCACAAGGUUGGAUCUAUGUUGAUUUUGUUUUAGCACUUGAGUUGCUAUUUGGUGGCUGUGCAUAAAUAAUUCCACUAAUGAACCGGUAUCGUGUUUAUGGGAAUGUCUGUGCAAGCUUUAUGCAUGUGAAAAAGGAUCAAAAUUACAACUAUUUAUUCUGAUAUUUCUAGCUUAUAUAAUAAGAUACAGAAUUGUAGUUUAAUAAAGUGGUUUUUUUGCAACAUCAUUUCUAAAAAGGAUCACUUUUGUAUUUUUGUGCUGGUAGAGCACUAAUGCCCACAUUUCUGUAAGCAUGUAAGCAGGGCUAGUGCAAGGAUAUUGGCUACAGCCCACCCGUUCCUCCCCGCAAAAAUGCAACAGUGUGUCCCUUAAUCCACCUCUUGAAUUUCUUACCCCCUUUUGUGUUUCUUAUCAUGUCUUACACCCUUUAUUGUAUCUUAUUCCCCAUUUUUCCCUUUGUGUGUCUCUUACACAUCCCCUUUGUGUGUCUCUUACCCCCCCCCAGCUCCUUUGUGUGUCUCUUGUUUCCCCCAACUCCUUUGUGUAUCUCUUUCUUCACUCGGACCCUUUGUGUGUAUCCUUCUCCUCAGCUCACUUGAGUGUCUCUUUCUCCUAUUUCCCAGCCUUCCUGUGUGUAUCUUCCCUUUCCCAGCCCCUCUGUAUGUCUCUUUCUCCCUCCAGCUGAUUGUAUGUGUCUCUUUCCUGCCUUCCCAGCCUUUCUGUAUGCCUCUUGCCCCCAGCACUUUGUCUCUUCCCGAGUCCCUCUUGGUCUCUUUGUCCCCCCCCAGCCCCUCUUGGUGUCAUCCCCCCAGGCCAAUGUCUGUCUCUUUUGCCCCUUCCCCAGCCCCUGUCUGUCUCUUUUGCUCCUUCCUAACCCCUCUGUGUCUCUUUGUAUUCCCCCUCCACCUCCUCCUUUGAGGUCUCUGCCCCUGUGCCAGCUCACCUACUCCUUGUAGCAUGGCCGGGCUGUGUUAGAAGAGAUUCGGUUUGUUCAACAAUGACACUUCCAUAUCCACUUGAGACAGGGCGCCUAGUACUGAGCACCGCUGAUCGACUGAGAGCCUCAGCUUCUUAAUUUGUUCCUAAUGGAAUGUUCCUGACUGCAGGUGGUCACAUUGUCUUAAUGCAUUAAAAAAAAACAAGUACAAAUUUCAAUACAAAUGCUUUGCAGCUUCUGCAGUUAGCAGUGCCAGUCCAGGAAGUGUCUCAGCCUAUCAGAAUCAUCUCCUUAAUUAUUAUAUUCAGCCCAAAGGUGUUUAUGGGAUAUGCAACUCAGAACUUUCUCAAAAAAAUAUUUUCAUCAAGUAAGCUGUACGUGUAACCUUGCAUGUGUGUAAUCUGGCAGGGAUGGUGGGGACAUCUACCGUGUGAGAACACACAGAUGCCCACUUCAGACUAGAUUUUAAAGGGUUGGAUUUAGCUAUGUAUUUUGGGGGGUAGCAGGCUUUUGAGGAACAAAAUCUGUUACGUUGAGAGCCCAUUUCAUUUUUAAGUUGGUUCUAAAGUUAUCAACUCAAAGACCAUAAUUAUUAAAUAAAUAUUGUGUCUGUAAGACAUGAUUUAUGUGAUCCUAUUUAUUGAUUCAAUGCUAUUUUGAUCUAAUGUGUACUGAGCAGAUACAAAGUAUUUCCUUUGGGAAAAAAAUUAAUUCAGUAUUUUAAAAAAACAUUUGAAAUAAAUGAAUUGUUUAAAUAACACAAUGAUUUCAUUGGCAUUAGUGUCCAUUGUAAGCAGCACUAAGUUGACAUAUUAAACUACAAAUUAUUCACUAUGCUAUGAAACACUCAGGGUUAUUUACUAAAGUAUUAUUUCAAAGUGAAUCCAAAGUGAAUUUCAAAUUUAAAUGGGCACUCCACUGCCCAAACAAUAACACAAACAACCCCUGUUUACUAGAUAUGCCAUAAUAAAAAGUUGAAUGCCUUUAAUUAUGCAUUUUUUUUUAUAAUUGGAAAUAUAUAUAAAAACAGUAAAAAUUGCAGUUCCUUUUCUGCAGCCUUUGUAAGCCCUCCCCUUCUAACUCCGCCCAGACUUUCUGUGUCUGUCCAAUCACAGACUUCCCAAUGCAGCUCAAUGAGAAGUAUUUUCAAGGCAGGUGCUCUGAGCAAUUGCUUGAGUUUAGCUUUACUGAGCUAACCAAACCAGGAAAUAACAGGACUGGUUGUCUGCUUGACAGCCACGGGUGUAGCAAAGAUUCUGUUGAAAUCUGCAGUUUUUGGAAAAAGAAAAAAAGAGAGAAAAUAGCAUUUAACUGGUAUAACAAUGCUUUAAGUUGGCUGCUUUGAACUAAAAUGUGAAAAUCACUUUGAAUUAGCUUUGGACUCUCUUUUUAGUAAAAUUCUGUCACUGUAUUACUUUACAUACCAGUGAUAAUAACACUUCUCUUUAAAGGCAUGGUUUGGUUUAAAAAUGUAUAAGUUUUGAUGCGCUUGAACAUACCUCCAAACAAUGGGUGGUGUGAAAUUUGGACGGAGUGGGUGGAGUCAUGUUUGAGCUUCACUAGUGAAGACGCACGUCAGUAGCGAUGUCCAUGAUGAUUAGCAUGCUGUCUGGCCAGGAAAGUGGGACUGUUGGGGAGCAUGCUUGAACAAGGCAGUUAAAAUAAAAAAUAUGCAUUUAUUAUUUUUCUAAAUUAUUUUCCUAAAACCCCACCUCUUCAACGUGUCCUGCAGCUAUACUGAUAUGUCCUCUUUUUGACCAGCAUUAACUUCCUCAUUCAUGAAUGCUUUACAAAUUAUAUUAAUAAAAUGAAAUGAGGGAAUAUGUCUGAAAAUAGUCUGCAGGCAUGAAAGCUUUGAUUUCUUGUUUCACCGUCUCAUACUGGAGCUUGGUUUGCAUUUGCAGGAAAUUAGCAAACAGGAGGACACAAACUUCAAAAGUAAACACACUGGGUUGUAUUUUCUUAGGAAAUUAGGGGUUAUUCUUUUUACCGAAUACUAAUUAUCCCAUAGACUUUAUUGGAGGAAUAGCUAUUCAGUGAGAAUUCAGUCCUGUGUAUGUAACGUAUUAAAGGUUCCUAAAUAAACAAAGUGAUUUAACUUCUAAAUGGCAGAGAAUUUAGCAGUGAGACUGCAGGAACAUGAUCUAUACACAAGAACCACCUCAUUAAAGAAACACUGUAGGCAAUUGAACUUUUUAUUGACGUGGUUAUAGUGUUUGGAGUUCCCUGGCAUCGCCAUUCCCUUCAGCGUUAAACCAUCUUUAUUGUUUUAUUUAAUGCUACACAAUUGUCUUACCCAAACAACCCGUCCUCUCUGUGCUGCUUGGGAUAAUAUCAAAACAUUACCCCGAGCAGCAAUGGGCAGCUCCGAUUGGCUAAGAGUAUCAGGUAACCAAGUUCUGCCUAUCAUAUUCCCCAUUCAGGUAUAAUUUACUAUAGCUUUAAGAAAGUGUAUGAUCUCUGCCUUAGCCAUACCUACAGUAGGACCCGGGCUGUGGGUGGCCAGCGACCCUCAUUAAAAUAUAUAUUUAUUGUAAGAUAUUUGUGUUAUCUAUUGAAAAACAGAUCUAUGAAAAAAUUAGGACUAAAUAGGCAAGAUGAUAGCUAAGUAAAAAUUUGUAAUGUUACUAACAUUUUGGCUUAAAUUUUACAAUAUCUAUAUUUUAUUUUGCCAUAAUUUACUGUUCAGUGAAAAGAAAAACCCUGGUUAUUUUUUAUACUGUUUGAUAUAAAAGACAGAGAGUUUACAUGCAUUCAUUAUGGACCAAUGACAAGAUAGAAAUUCCAUGGUCACAAGUGAUUUGUCAAAUGACGGUCCUAAACGAGGUGAAAAGAGUCACUUCACAAGAAAGAACUAAUCUGUUAGAUUUAGCAAACAAUUUUUAUUCAGCUAGAAAUAUCUGAUACCCAUGAACAUCCAUCUCUAAUUUCCUUCAAACAAAAACAUGUCUUCUAGUUAUUUUGAAAUGUAAAUCGUAGAAGUAAAACCCGGUACAUUUUAUGAAGAAUAAAUCAGAAUCACUAUUCUGCAAUCCCUGAUCUAACGCCUGUGUCGCAGACUGCAAUUUCCGCUGGGACGCAUAGAGAGAAUGAGAUGAAAUUUAGAAUGACACAUUUUUUUGACUUAGAGGGAGUGCUGUAUCUUUAAGCUAUAUUUUUUGCAGUUGUCAUUGCAUAUCGGAGCACUGAUUUCCCUUUGGAAUUUAAUUCUGGAUUUCUAUUGAGGAGUAUUACUUCAAGACUUCAAUCUGCCAUUUUAUUUCUCUAUUUAUUUUCUCAAUUUUUAUUUUUAUUUUUUUUAGUAUAAACUAAUUUCAGGUUUAUCCAGCAUCCAGCGAUCUGAAGAUGGCAACCUUAAUCAGGGAAUCAUCAGGUCGCUUCCGUUAGUUUUGAAGAGUCAAAUUAUUUCUUCUCCAGCUGAGUUUCCAAAAGGGAAUUUGUCAAAUCAGGUGCGUGAAAAAAACAGGAUGCACUCUACUUUAGAAAGACUGACAUAACCGCAUCAGUCAAAAAUACCCUAAAUGGGAAAUAUUUAUUUAUUUAUUUUACAAUCUGCUAAACUUCAAGCAAUGAUUGAUUCUUUCACCAAAUCUUCACUGACAAUAGCUUUUGUGACAAGACAACUAAGUGAGCAAAUUAACUGUAAUAUAAUGGUGCAAUUCCAUGCCCUCCAUCAGUUUCACAUUAGAAUUAUUGAGGCCCACUACACUAUACAUCCCAACAGUGGGAGUAGGCAAAGUGGGACAGGUGGCUCGUGUCACUGGUGAUGCCCAUAAUGGGAAGGCUUGCCCAGAAAAAAGGUGGGUCGUCCCGCUGAAGACUGUAGGGGUCACUCUGGCCUAGUGCCUUUCCACAGUGCGAAUGCAUGCCUGCCAAAGAAAGUUCCUUGUAAGGGAAGCCUGCUACACCCUCACUGGUCAUGCCCUCUGACACACUCCUUGACUCAUUCCUAAACAUGAAAACUACACUCACAGACACACACACACACAGAUAACUGCAGACACACAGACACACACACAGGUACUAGUACAAGCUACCAGACAGACACUCACACAGAUAACUGCAGACAUGCACACAUAUAACUGCAGACACACAGACAGACACACACAGGUACUGAUACAAACUGCCAGGCAGACACACACACAUACGCACGCACACACAGAUAACUGCAGACACACAGACAGACACACACAGGUGCUAAUACAAACUGCUAGACAGACACACGCAAGGAUACUGACUGCCAGAUAUGCGCACUGAUACACAAUGCCACACCAUACACUUUCCAGUAUAUAACCAAUUGAACAAACUGUAUACAGACUACACUACAGUCCUUAAAAGGUUGUUAAUACCUGAGUAUGAAUGGUUUUUGUGUGAAAUGAAUCAAGUUCAACAAUUAAUGUAAAAGCUCUAGGAUUUAAUAGCUGUGCAUUCACUACCGCAAGAAGCACGGCAUUUUAUUGAAAGGCUGGGUGUGUGUGUGUGUGAGUAACAUUAUUCAUGAUGGUCCUGGACUAACUAUUUUAGCUUCAGUUUUGCAAAUUAGUUAUCACAUCACUGCAAGUUUAUACCUCCCUGGUUUCCUUGUUUAAGACAGACAGUCCCUAUUUUUCGCCAAUAUCCCUCUGUCCCUCUUUUUUAUCCUAACUCACACCCUUAAAAUGUAAGUAUCCCUCAUUGUCCAUUGGAAAUGUUAGGGGGUAUGCAAAUCACUGCUUUGACAUCUAAUAUGUUAGUGGGUAUAUACCUAAAUUUUAUUUUAACAUUUUAUUGGGGGUUUAGCUAUUUUAGCACGUUUUGAAGGACCCUGACUAUUCUUAUCUGAAAUCACAGGUCUCUAACUGUUAUUAACAGUGGAAUUUUUUGAAGCGCAAUUCACUUAUACAAAAUAAAGUCUAUUUAUAGGUCUCGUCCAAAGAAAUCCUUUGAGUUCUUAUCAACUGAAUCAGCAUUUUUAUGUUUACAGUUUGUCAUUAUGUUCCAAUUUACUUGGCCUGCAAAACACUUGAUAAUGAUAAAUUACUACCUCGUUGCCAGUUCCUGCUACAGUUUCAGUAUUCUGCCUAAAUGUAUGAAAUAAACAACUUUACUUAAAGGAUGUAAUUUAGGUUUUUUUUCAUUCAGUCAGAGUAUAGUUAUCCAGAAAGAUCUGAAUCUGGAAGAAUAUCUCACUAUAAACUGUAAAUAUUCACUAAAAGCAAAUCCAGCCAAAGGCAAUGGCUAAAGUCACAUACAAAUACAAAAAUAAGGCCCAUAGCUUAUUCAUCCCCGAUAAGAUAAUAAUCAAAAUAAAAUUAAAAAUGCUACUUGCACACAAUCUCAAACCAAAGUGUACACUUUUAGUACCACUGGAAUAGCUAUUAAAGUGUAAGCUCACCAUUACAGAGAGCGUUUACUUUAAUAUUGGAAUGUUUUCAAGAUCCCGGGGACUAUUGGUCUGGCAGCAUACUCCGUAAUUAACUUAAUUUGGGGAACUCACCGGCACCUUGAUGAGUCAGAGGGGACUUAACUCAGGAGAGCUGAGAGCAACAUACAGUGCACUCAGGGCCGGUGCUACACUAUUUUGCGGCCUAGGUAAGACCAGCUAUUUGCAACCCAUCCAUCCCCCAAUUUUUCUUUUUUGCCAGAUUCAAUUUUUAAAAACAAAUUUGCAGAAAAAAAUAAUAAAACAUUAAACUACUAUGUCCCCCCAGCCCUUCUGUGUGUCUCUUUGUCUCCUUCAGCCCCUCUGUGUGUCUUUUUGUCUCCAAGCCCCUCUAUGUGUCUUUUUGUUCCCCUUAGCACCUCUGUGCUUUGUCUUCCACCAGCUCUUCUGUGUGUCUCUUUGUGCCCAAGGCCCUUUGUGUGUUUCUUCCCCCCUCCUCCCAAUUCUCUGCGUGUCUCUUUGUCCCCUCAUGUACCUCUAUGUAGAGUGGCUACAUGGACCUGAUUGGAUGAUCUUCUGUUUUCUCUACUGGGUCUGGCAGGAAUCUGUUCGUUGAUUUCCAUUAGCAUAACAAACACAGGGGGGUUAUGUAUAAAGAGAAAUUCCGGGGCAACAUUCUGCAAGUUGAGCUAUUACCAUGGAAACCAAUGGGAUAUCCCAGCUGAAUGGUCCACAUUUAGUACUUUACCCCAGAAUUACUCUUUAUAAAAAACACAAUGUGUGUUUUCACAGGACUAUUCACCUGUGUUUCUCUUAGAGAAGAUAAAACGGCAUAAAAUAAAAUAAUUUAAUAAAAAUCUUUCAAAUCAUUUCAUGUUUUACAGUAAUCUUCCUCACCCAUUGAAUUCACCUAAUUAAUAAAAUGUAAUGUUACCAUCAUAAUAAUCUCCGUAGACUUUCCUUUUACUAAUGUACGUCAUGCAAUUAUUUUAUAUUGUCAGGAACAGCAUAAAAAAUAAAGAGACUAUUGAUAAAAGUUACCGAUUUCUAUUGUUUGAAACAAAAGAAUCAAGUACGCUAUUCUUAUCGCAAUACUUUACUAAAAGCUAUUAAAUUAUAUUACACAAUAUAAUUGAGGAAGAAAAACAUAACGUCACCUAUAUAUCCAAGACAAAGAAAACUAAUGUUUGUUUAUGUGUUAGUAAAUUUAAUAAUAACAUCCACCAGCAACUUAUCUGCCCUUUUUAUAUUGCAUCGGUAAAGAACGAUGUGCUAAGAUAAACUUUAAUGCCGUUUGUUUCCUUUGGUAAUUGAGAUUCAACAAAAAUAAUAGUAACAUCAAUGUAUAUAGCCUGAUAAACUUUCUCCUUGCUGCUAAUACAAGCACGCCAUUAAAUUGACCAUAAAGAUGCUGGGGAAAAAAAAUCUGCUUAUUUAACAUUUUGUUUUUUUACUUUUUCUUCAGGAUGUUAAAAGUGUAUUUGUACAUGUAUGCAAAAAAACACCACAUUAAAGGGACACCGCAACAUUGAUUUAUCCACCAUUUGUGUGUAUUUUGGAGAUAACACAAACAUACAUACCAAAAUGCUGAUGUAUAGCAAACCACAGGCUCUGUUGCUACUCAAAUGAUUCUUCUUCAUUGUCUAUGCUCUUUUAGCCGAUCCCGGUCCUUCUUUAGAUACAACAGGGGUUUACAAAAAAUGGGUAUCUGUAUGUUUGCCUGGCAUCCUGUCAUCAAAAUCUGAAUGUUUCACAUGUUGCAGGUUGCAUAUUGCAGAAACUUUCAGAAUUAUUCACUCAAGUAAGAAUUCAAAAAGAAUUUCAAAUGUUAGGCCAUAGUACCUGAAUUUGAAUCAAAACUGAUUUAGAGAAUUUUUUAAAUAUAAAUACUUUGACCCCAAAUUUUGAAAUUCACUUUGAAUUAAGUUUAAAAAGCUCACUUUACUAAAUAGCCCUGUCCGUAUGCCUGGAGAGUCCUUUUAAAUAUUCAGCAAUAAAAAAUUUAAUUUUUUGCUUAAUCACAUCUGGGUUGAAAAAAAGCCACAUGCAGAGUUUUGUACGGGGCAGGCAGAUGUUGUGGACUACAGUCAUAAUGCUGACAAAGCAUCAGAGGAGAUGUAGGUCACAACAUCUUGGAGAGCAAAGGGUUGCCUACCCCUGGUCUAGUACAUUGGCUCCCUAGGAUUCUGUUAGUGAGUAAUGGGAAGAAAAGAAAGAUAUCACUGAAAAUAUUGUACCUACUGGAGGGCCUUAAUGGCAAUAUCUACAGAAUGACUGUUAGUGAUUGGUCAAGUAGUUAUUACUAAGUGACCAUCACUUUCUAGAGCACUAUAAUGUUUUAUUUCUUUGCUUAAUAAGGCUGUAGACAAUAUAUGAUUUACAGUGAAUCUGUCACCCCUGAGAUUUAUUUUCUUUUACCUUUAAAAAUUGUCCGUAGUUUAUUAUUCCUAUUCAUACAAUACAUUAUUUAAAUAGACAUUAAUAUGUUUUUAUUUUUUUUAUUUUAAAUUAAUUGCCAUAACAUUUCUUUGAAAUCACCGGAUGCAUUGCUAGUAUAUAAACAUAGCAUAAAACUAACUUUAUGUAUAAAACUAUUUCAGGCAAAUGUAAAACAUUAAUAAUAUUAAAAUAUACAUAAUCUUUGCUUUUGAUUACUUUGUGAGAUAGAAAAGAGAUUGGGUUGCCAUUCACAGCCUCACUGCAGAGAUGCAGAGGACAGAAUCGACCUGUUUGAGAAUUGAAUAAGUUGGGCUUUCUUAUCUUAUUGUUGUUUUCAUUACUUUCUGUGUAUCUAUUUUCUUUCUGUUAAAGUUUUAAAUGUAAUUUGUGAAUCUAUAUUGUGAGCAGAAUUGUCCCAAUUUAAAAAUGCUGCACAAUUAUUUACUCAUAUACCUUCAGAUUCCCUUAAACGUCUCAUAAUAUAUGUUUAUUAUAAUCCUCUGGAGACAUUAUAUUAAUCCAGGGAAUCAAAAGAUAAUACUGACAAAUUAUGUAACCCACAGUGCAGUCCAUAAAUGUAUCCUCCCAUUGAAAUACUAGGUAGAUUGCGUAAAAUAUACAGCACAUGCGUGCAUGCAUGCACACAAUUCCAAUAAAGUUGGAAUUGCAAAUAGGAAACUUUUGUGAAUAUGACAUUUUAAAAGAUGAAAAUCUUUGUUUUAACCCCUUAAGGACACAUGACGUGUGACAUGUCAUGAUUCCCUUUUAUUACAGAAGUUUGGUCCUUAAGGGGUUAAAGCUCCAGCACUAUACCUUUCUUUGAGAAGUCAUACUACCAGGGAUCUCAGUGAGACCCCAUUGUUGACAAAUGGAUCUUAAUCUUCAAACAGCAAAUACAUUUAUCAUAAGCAGCCUGAAAAAACUACAUUAUUUUAACCAUGUGAAGAUUGUCACAUUUACUACAUAUUACAGUUUUGAAAAUGUUGCUUUUCCCAGAUCCUUUACAUGCAGAUUUCCUUGUGAUAUUCAUCUAAAGCAACACUCUAAGCACCAAAACCACUACAUAUUAAUGUAGUGAUUAAUGUAGUGAUUAAUGUAGUGGUUUGGUGCAAAAAAAACGCUGUUUCUUUUCUUGGACAAUAUAAAUCAUUGCUGUUUCUAUAGACUGACUGAAAUAGAAAAAUGUCAUUCAGUGAAAAGACUCACUACUACCAUGCUAGGGGCAUGUAUGUUUGGACCUUUUAAUAUGUAGACUAGGACUGGACAGCAGUUCUCAGAAUUCCCAGCCAGGUCUGACUCUCUGUUGAAGCUGAAAGCUGUAGUUUACACAGGAGUCUAGCACAGCUAGUAAACUAAUAAAAUACACUGAGCUUGCAAGAAGUAGAUUAUCACGUGAUGUAAUGUACUAACAUACUAAGGCCAUAUAGGCCAAAACAUCGCAUUCUGUGUUGUAUAAAUGUAAUUAUUGAGCACCUGUAUUCUGAUUCUACUGUGGGGGGACGCAGAUCCCUCAUUUAUGGACCUCCUGCCGGGGUGCUGGUGACCUGUGACCAGCUAUUGCCUAGAGGGCCACACCAUCCUACUUUUGGAAUUAUCUGUUGUAUAAUAGUAUCAGCAUCUAAUGUGUGACAUCUCAGGAAAUUUGUGCCACAGAGGUAUAUUACAGUCCUGAAAUGUUAUCCUGGUUUUAAAGCCAGAUUGAGGCAUGCUUGACACCUGCUUAAUAUGACUUGUAGACAUUGCAAACAUGUAAUACUUCAUAACAACGUUAAAGGGGAACUACCGCCUCUCUGGAAAUUACAACAUUGAAUAACAUUUCUAAAAAAUCACCUGUAUCUUAUGUUCAUGUGAUGCUCUUUUCUUUUACAUUUAUAUUAGAGAUUUAACAAAUGUCAUCACAAAGCAGUUUAGCCCAAGCACAUCCAGGGCACACUUUGCAAAUGAAGAAGAUACAUAGAAACAUUGUCUGGUUUCUCCUUUUCUCUACAUGCUUUCUCUAUGCGGACUGACAAGAACAAAGGGCAAUGCUUAUAACCAUGACUGAGUCCAGUUGCAAGAUAAAGAAAUGUAGCAGUUUUCAUUUAUUUUAUUUUUCAGACCUCCAAAGCACAUGUUUGUGAAAUGUAGGGGAUAAGUAAGCCUAAUACAGAUAGUCUUCACUUAGCGACUUACCUUACCAGCGACUGCUCAGAUUUAUGACCAGCUCUCUAGCGCAGAGAUUUGAGGGAUUCUCCACGUUGGAGAGCUCGUCUAUGUUCGGGGAAUUUUCCGCAAACAUAGAUUACGACCAAGUCGUAAGAACGGAACAUGGUCAGUAAGUGAUGACCAUCUGUAUGAAUAAUCCUGUGAAGUGAUUGUUGUCCUUUAAUCCUCAUACUUUGUCUUCCACUUUCUAAACAUUCUAAGCAGUGGUUAUUCUGUCCCACAUCCGUCACAGUUCGAUCUUUCUGUCCCGGACACCGAGAGCACAUACUGUUCUAUCCAUCCUAUACUUUAUGUUCUAAUUCUACCUGGUGCAUUUUAAUAUUACUUUGGGAAUUAACUGCUUUUAAAGAGUAAGCAAACUGUCUUCCAAUACUGCCUGCUGAAAUCCCAGGAUGAGAACGUAGAACACGAGCAAAUGCUGCAGUGACUGCAUGUAAUCUUGGCCACUAAAUAACUGGAUUUUAUAUGUUUCACCAUUAACCCCAUCCUGUCCAGACAGUAGUUAGGUACACUGCCUUCAUCCAGAAACAAGCAUGCAGAUCUUCCUUUAACGAAAGCAUGUGUACAGAUGUAGCGAUAUCUAAUGCGACAAGCACCAAUGUUUCAGUUUCAAAUAAACAAAAUCCAAUUUAAGUUAAAAAAAAGUGCCUAUCAGUAAAAUCAGAUCUGACCUAGAAAGCUGGAUGGAUUGUAAACAGUGAAGUAAACACUGGCUUUUACGAGAGUCCGUUUAAUGUGUAAGGCUGUUUCUGUGUCUUAUUCCGACAUAUUCCUGCUCUGGGAUUUUUCUUCAUUUUUUUGAUUACUACUCUCAGCCCAGGAAUUUGGAUACUGACCCAAUUACUGGCACUUUUACUACCACUGAUUAAGUGCUUGUACCAGCUGCUCAACACAGCGCACAUUUUAUCUUUUCUGUUCUACAAAGUUGUACACUAAGCAUAAUUACAUCUGCACAUCAAAUGCUUCUAGCCCAAUUUCAGUCUGUCGGCACAGAAGUCUGCAGGGUAGAGGAUAUGGCACCACCACUAAACAGUAAGUUUGUAGCUCUUAAAGGAACACUAGAAGUACUAUGACAUCUACAGCAUGCUGGGGUGAUCAUGGAGUCAGGAGAGCCCUGAUGGCACCCGAUGUAAGUAAUCGAACCAUUUCAUACAAGGCUCUGCUCCCCGCUCCUCAGCCUCUAGGAGAGCCAGAAUUUCCUCUUCCAUUAGAUCCCCUGAACAACGCCAUAAUUGCUGGCCUUAGCUUAGAUCCAAGAACUAACUUCUGGCUAGAGAGGAGGCAGGGAAUGGUGCUUGGCAAACCCCAGGUAUAAAGUCAAACCGUUACUAAACUGUUUUUGGACUGCACGCUGUAGUGGUUAUGGUGGUUAUGGUACAUGGAGUAUUCUUUUUACACUUGCGGUGCUCAGCAUGGGUGUAGAAACACGUUUCUACUAAGGAUCCUGCGCCGGGCUUCUUAUUUUGAUCUCACCCUUGGUCACCUCCUUGAAACAUUUUUCUGGUUACCACUGUAUUCAAAACUCAUUAUGAUAAAAUAAUGAACAAAAUUAAUAUAUCUAUAUAUAAAUAGCGAGGGUUUGCACUCCUGGUGUAAUCGUGUGGUGCCCGGGUGCUGGUCUGGCAAGAAUCAUGUAGACAUAGCAGAAAUGACUGCACUCCAAGGACUUUGCAUAGAUUUUCAAAAAUAAUUGAACUUUUAUUCAAUCCAAUUAAAAACUCUCAUAUUUUAUCCUGAUGAAAGCUGUUAUCUUUGACCCUGAGGAAGGUCCCAAUCGGGGACUGAAACGUUGGUCGUUAUUUUUUAAUUAUUACAAUAAAUUUUCAUUUUAAGUCCGGAGAGCAGCCUUUCUUGUUGGAUGUUGUACCUAUUGGAGCUCUGGUAGUGCGGCAUUGGAAUACCACAAGCGUGAGUGCAGGGGAUUUUGGUAUUUUUUUUUUUAUAUGUAUAUAUAUGUAACGGCUAAUAUAAUAAGUAUAAACCCAUCAGGACAUCUGUUAUAUUAUCCUUAGAUUGCCGUGCUUAGAAUUUCACAUUUUCAAGCAUUGUUGAUCCAUUUUAUGUCAAAACAAAAAAACAUGUAUUUAUUUUUCAUGUUUAUCAGUAUAACUGAUCUUGUGUUUUUGAAUAAUAGAGACACAUAAAAUACAUUUAAUUUACAAUUUUAAAUCAGUUUUGAAAUGAAAGAAUGCAGCCCCCCCCCUCUCUCCCUCCUGCCCCUGCCCAGUGCUUCCAAGAAAUCAUAUUAAACAAGGUUAUGAAGGUGUUCUAAGAGUAAGUUUUCAUGUUCCCAAUGUCAGUGAGUCUGUCUAACAGGACAAUCCAACCAUAUCCUACACUGGUUAACCUGAUAAGUUUGGCUAAAUAUGGCCUGAUAUAUUUGUUAACAAUUCCCGUAAAUAACGAUCCCUUGCUUUAAUAUGAAGCCUCACCAUCUUUUUAAGACCGUUUUAAUUAGAUGCUUCAAUCCAAGCAGUAUUUCAUACAGAUUUACAAUAAUGUCCUUACCUUUCUGUUUAAUUAAAAUGACCUCAUUUUACUGGUGGGUCUAAACUGUAUUUGGCAAGCCCUCUUGUUUCUUCAAUCCUCUGGCAAAACCUUUCUAUAGCAGUCGGUAAAGUAGAAGUCAUUUAGUCACAUGCCUGGAUUCGGCUCAGAGUUGUACCAAAGCCGGUACCACGUGUUCAUGCUGAUUUCUGUAUUUUUCUGUUUAUAUUUUAUUUGUCGAGCCAACCAAAACAGAAAUCCUGCUUAAACAUGCAAAAACAUUCAGCUAAAGAAUUUCUUCCUCUCAUUUAACUAAGGCGAUCAGAACAGAAGAAACAGUCCAAGCUGCUAAGCAAGACGCAAUAUUGUUAUAUUAUAUCUUAUGGUCCCUAAUAUUAUUAUAAAUAUAUGUGUAGAUCCAUUUAUGUUAAAGGGAUUCUAUAGUGUUUGAAAUACAAACCUUAUUCUUACAUUAUAGAGCCCUCUGGUCCCCCCGGCGUAUAACGGGUUAAAAAACAUUUACUCACGUACCUGAUUCCAGCGCCAAUGUCUCUCGGUGCUGGGUCUGUGCUCCGACAUGUGGAGGGGGCUCACAUGCAUGCGGUAAGCUCUGCAGGCACAUUAGGCCCUCUCCAUAGGAAAGAGUUGAGUCAAUGGUUUACUAUAGGAAUUUUACUGACACUGACACUGGACGUUCAGCAUCAGUUAGACCUACGGUCCUGUAAAAUCCCAGAAGCGCCUUUGGUCGCUGUCUGAUUGACAGCCACUAGAGGCAGUCUUAGUCCUGCAAAGUAAUUUUGCAGGUUCUCUUAAGCUGCAAUGUUUUACAUUGCAGGACUAAGGGAGACAGGAACACUGUAAACAGACCACUUCAAUGAGCUGAAGUGGUCUGGGUGCCUAUAGUGUCCCUUUAAAAUAAAUACAUCUGGACAUUGAAACUUUUUUUAUAAAUAUAUAUAUAUAUUUCUAAAUCUUUAACAAAUGUUAGUAGUACAUAUACAAUUGAUAGGAUAGAUUUCUGUAACAUAUCAGAAUGUUAAUGAUUAGCAUUUAAUGUUUUAAUAAUCCAUAUAUGUUUAUUUAAUCUGUGAGUUUGGAUUUUAAAUUCUAGGAGCCAUGCUAAACAACUACUUAGGCUGUGAUUUAAACUGCAUAUCCCAUUAAUCCCUGCUGGACAAGUGUUUAUGGGAUAAGAAAAACUUUGCAUAAUCCUGAUCGGAGGAUCUUGUACUUGCUACAGACAGAAGGAACUUUUAAGGGAUCUUUUUCAAUGUAAGUCUAUUAGUUGCAUUUUUAAUGCAUCGUCUAUAUAUAAUGUAUUAAGUCAGGGGGUGAUUCCUGCUCAUAUCUACAUUACCUCGUCCACAUCUUGGGAUCUUUUCCUGAAAUCACAUUUAAUGGUGACCAAGCGUUUCUUUUGUGGCGCUGUAAGAAUUUAAUUUAUGCGUUGCAUAUUAUAUAAUAGAAUGGUUUGACUUGGCUUUAUUCAUUACUUGAUCCAACAUCUAUUUUAAUUCUUUACAUUUUCCAACAACUAACUGUUUCUUAUGGCAAGCUUUUGCUUGCAAAAUCUUUGAGAUAUCAUGUUUAUUUUUGGUUUGUAAUAAAAUAUCUAAAGCAAAUAACAUAGUUAAAAAGUCUACAUUCCUCAUAAACUAUAGUAUCAAUAAUGCUAUUCUUUAAUGCAAUUUUCAGUUCACUGCAAUAUGUUAUUUAGAAAACAAACCCCAGAGUGUCCCCACAAUCUCCUAUUAAAGGGACUCUCCAGUGCCAGGAAAACAAACCCGUUUUCCUGCCACUGCAGGAUCCCGUAGCCACUAGAGGCAGUCUUAGUCCUGCUGCUCCACCCACGCUCCUCCCCCCACUGAAGUCAGCCGACGUGGGAGAUCUAAUGCGCAUGCGCAGCAAUGGCCACGCAGCAAUGGCCGCGCACGUGCCUUAGACCUCUUCAUAGGAAAGCAUUAUUCAAUGUUUUCCUAUGGGGGUUCUGGUGAUGCUGGAGGUCCUCAUGCAUAGCGUGAGGAUGUCCAACGUCAUUUAAAACACUUUUCGUGUUCUAAGAAACCGGAAGUCCCUCUAGUGGCUGUCUGAUAGACAGCCACUAGAGGAGGACUUAAACCUGCAAGGCAAUUAUUGCAGUUUAUAAAUGGGCUGAAGUGGUCUGGGUGCCUGGAGUGUCCCUUUAAUGUCCUAACCAAAUACAUAUCUUGGUAAACAUUCAUACUGCUAAAUAUAACAAAAAGUGGACUCCACAGGAUCACCCCUUCUGGAAAUUGUAAGGAAUUAAAGAACAUUUUAUCCUGAUUUUCACCAUAUGAAAUUCGAUGCACAACAAAUCAAACCCUUAGUAUGUGACGCACAGCUGGAUAAUCAGGAGAGAUGAAUAAGUAGUUUUUCUGUUGUAUUUCAAAUAACCGGAAUAUAUUUAAUAUCUACUCACCUUUUCAAUUAAAAAAUUAAAACUUUUUUUUUUUCUUUUUAACAAAACAAACAACCCUCCUGAGACUUUGAAGUGGUCUCACCACUCAGCAUUUCGUAAACAUAUAAUCUUUAUGAUAAACUCAUGCUGCCUGGAUUGAAAUUUCAAUUUAAUCCAAAAAUACCAUAAGAUAAAGUAGGAAAUACUUUGCAUUAUGUUUAUUAAACAACACAGAGAUGGAUAAAUAAACAUUUUAUGUUCCUUAUCUAAUGCACUUGGCAUUAAUCCAAGACUUCAGUUGUUAAGCCUGCAAUGAUCAUCCCCCUACAGGGGAUACAUGAGGAGACCUGUUUGUGUCUCUCUUGCCAUCUAUUAUUGGGGGAACAGGCUACCCAUCUGUAGAAUGAAUAUAAGCACAAAGCAUCAUGCUCUCGGAUUUUGGACCUGCAUCAGGAUAUGCCUUUACUGGUUUGACUGGACCUGAGUGUCUUGUAGUAUCCAUUUUCUUCCUCCAGGGGUGCUACAAGAUUCCAGCAGCAUCAUUAGCAGCGAUAAUCCAAUAAUAAUUCUGUUCAUUCAUCUUACGACAGUCCUGCAAGCCGUGGUUGUUGGUAGCUGAUUCCAUAACUCGACUUAUCAAACAAACUUUCACUUACCGUAUAUACUCGUGUAUAAGUCGAUCUCAUGUAUAAGUCGAGGGCAGUUUUGUGACCAACAAUUGUGCUGUGCCUCGUGGAUAAGUCGAGGGUAAAACUUGGGGCUAUGAAAUUCUGUGAUUUUUAGAAUUAUAUACACACACACACUCAUACAAACACACACUGCAUUAUACACACACACACUCAUACAAACACACACUCUGCAUUAUAUACACACACACUCAUACAAACAAUCUGCAUUCUACACACACACUCAUACAAACACACACACACUCUACAUUAUAUACGCACACACUCUGUGUGUAUAUAAUGCAGAGUGUGUGUGUGUGUUUGUAUGAGUGUGUGUGUAGAAUGCAGAUUGUUUGUAUGAGUGUGUGUGUAUAUAAUGCAGAGUGUGUGUUUGUAUGAGUGUGUGUGUGUGUGUGUGUGUGUGUGUGUGAACUGGGUGGGAGGAGGGCAUUUUUAUUAUACAUUUUUAUUUUAAUAUUUUAAGUUUUUUAUUUUAUUUUAAUAUUUUAAGUUUUUUAUUUAUUUUUUUUUUAUUUUUUUUUAUCAUUUAAUUUAGUUUUCGUCCCCCCUCCCUGCUUGUUAGCUUGCCAGGGAGGGGGGCUCUCACUCCCUGGUGGUCCAGUGGAUGGGCUGAGUAGGAGGGGGGGCUGACAGUGAGCGGUUACUUACCUUCCUGCAGCUCCUGUCAGCUCCCACUGGAAGUCUCGCGAGAGCCGCGGUGACCCCGCUCUCGCGAGACUUACAGUGGGAGCUGACAGAGGAGCUGCAUGGAGGAGAAGGGAGCUGAGAGGAGCUGCAGGAAGGUAAGUAACAGCUCACUGUCAGCCCCCAACAGGACCGCCGGGCUUGUAAUGAGCCCGGCGGUCCUGGUCUGUAUUAUGGCAAUGUAAAUUGCCAUAAUACUGACAUUAACUCGAGUAUAAGUCGAGUGGGGGUUUUUCAGCGCAAAAAAUGUGCUGAAAAACUCGACUUGUACUCGAGUAUAUAAGGUAUGUCUCUUUGAGAUUUUGUUUGUCUUGACAAUUCUGUUCCUAUUUUCAUACUCUGUGUUCUAAAAUGGAAUGAGGAGAUCUUGGACAACUAUUGAAAAUCAAUUCAAACAGAAGGAAGAACUAUUACACCGUUCUUCGAAUAGUUUAUUUUACAGCCAUCUUGUAUAUAUUUGUAGCUUAUUUAUGUCAUGUUUUAUCAUAAUUUGAUUCAAAUUGUAGCUGUUUCUUUCUCUAAAGGCUUAUAAAAACUUACAUAACCAGUUUGCUCAAAAUAAGCAGCUAUGAUGUGUUACCAUUCCACUAGUUUCCCCUGUGUGUAUAAUAUUUUUUGUUGUGAUAAAUUUGUUUUAUAAGAAUAACUUACAAAGGAUCAGUGAUGGUAAUAUGCUAACACCGCAGUUCGAAGGAAUGGGCAUCACACUGAAUCUACAGAAAGACCAAAUCUUUAAUCAACCGACAUUAUACUAUCAAUUAAAUCAAAGAUUCAAAAUAAAAUCACUUUGUUAAGUAUGUCAAAGCUCUAAGGGAAUCAAAGAAUUGUAUUUCUUUCUUGUCCGGCAUGAUGACCUGCUAAAUUAAAGCAUGGUUCUUUUGUAGUGUCAGUGUGAUACACUUUUGUACAAAUAUUUGAAUUUACAUGGAGUGGGUGUAUUUAUUAUUUAUGUGGCAUUGUCAUUACAGUCUGGUCACCAAAAGACUCUGUUACCUUACUCUAUAGGGGUAAAUAUUCAAGCCAUUCUUUACAUCACAUGGUCUGCAUGGGCCAGAUUGCAAUGGUGACAUUGAUUGUCAUUGGUGCAUAAAUGUAAAUCGGCAUUUGAGGGUGGAUUUACCACUUAUUGUACCACUCUCCUUUUGCCCACCCACCCUGGUCUCACUUUAAUUUAUUUCCCAUACGUAUUAAUGUGAAUAAACCCAAUGUCAAUCAAUGAUUAGUCCAAUUCUUCAAUUGCUCAUAUCUGAUACUUCUCACACUGUUUCUAUUCGCUGUUACCUUCUGUGUCAUUGAAUACAUUUCUUUUUAUUGGUCUUACAAAGUCUCUACUACUUUUGUUUAAUUUGUUUAUUCCACAAGCUAAAAGAAUACAUAAUAUUAAUUGUAAAGAUCUCUGGAUCAGAUCUCUAUAUAAGAAAUGAUGAAUAAAUAUUUUUUUUAUUAAUUUUAUAUGUAAUGCCCGUAAAUGAAAUAUAACUCUUAAUCAUCCAUUUUUUCCGAGUUCUGAUUGUCGUCCUUUGUCUAGCAUCACUCACGCAGCAUCUCCCAACCAGUUAUUGUCAAAUCAUAUUGUCACUGAGUUUGCAUCCCAUCACAUGAUCCCUUACUCACUAAUCUGUAAUUAAUUCAGUUACUUAUUCACGUAUAAUGCAUGAUAGUCACAAAAGGCUUUUCAUGCACUAAAAAAAAAAAUAUAUAUAAUUUAAAUAUUCUCUUUAACACAAGGAUGCACUAGGUGCAAAUACAUUGAAUUCUGUUAGGAAUCAGUGAGUAGGUAUUCUGUAUAACACACAGGAAAACAUACAGAGAUAUACAUCUUUUUCUCCAGAAAUUGUACAUUUUUUUAUAAAGGCAGUUUGUCUGCAUACCUCCCUGGGAUGUUCCUUGUGUGACCACGUUUAUUUUCAGUUCAGCAGUCGAUUAAUUUAUAAGACAUAACAGAAUUGUUCCAUAUAAGCAAAGUAGGAACUCUCAUAGCCAUUUGGCCAAUUUCCAAAUCAGAUUGGUAUCAAAAGCAGAUGGAUUGUAUGAACUCUUUACUUUAGUUUAACACCCAAGUCAAACAAAAUAUCACUGAAAGAUUAUGGUUUUAAACAUAUUUUUCCCAACAGGCUUCAUGGAAAUGAUAAAAAAAAAUCAUUUAGGAUUGGAUUUUGGGGGGGUGUUAGGUUACAAAAUGACAGAGUUGGAUUUGAUUUUUUCAUUUAAUUGAGGUUUAUAGAAACUGACAAUAAAUGAGCAGGAAAAAGUUACUGAUUUGAAGAAUUUGUCCAAUUCUUUGUUUUGACAUAAAAGUUGCAACUACCUUGUUAUCUUUCCACAAGUCCCAGGUAAAAACAAAACAAAAAAAAAACUCUACUGUUAUUGAAUAAACCGUAAAUACUCAAAAAAGGUGAACUUUAUAAGUAACGUACAACAUAAAAUAAUGUGAUUUAAAACACAAAUUCCCUUUGACAUCACAGAUACCUUUUGGAAGGGCACAUACUAGGCAUUUUAUGCAAAUAAUGUUUUACAUAGCUUAUUUAUUCUGUUCAAUUUCUAACAUUUUAUUUAUUCAGUUAAAUUGUACUACGGCACACGAUUUGCUCUCGAUAACAUUAGUUAAUUUCCCAUUGAAGGUGGUAAUUAAACGAAUUUGGACGCAAGAAAUGAACCCCAGUGAAAUCAAUAGGACACAAUGCUGCCAAAAUGGCUUUUUUUUUAAGAGGGGCUAUAACAGUUUUAUAGAAAUAAUACAGUCAUGGGACAAAGAAGAUAAUUUAAUGGGGCAGUCUGUCUAUCCAUGUGUCUGUCGGUCUUUCUCUCUUGUAUGCAUACAUCCGCUUACUAGUUUACAAAGAAACCCUAGCACAUAAUUAUUAUUUCCGUAGGCUUCCCUAAACUCCGGCCUUCCAGAUGUUACUGAACUACAACUCCCAUGAUGCUCAGCCUAUCUAGUUCUUUCAUAGAAUCAUGGGAGUAGUAGUUCAGCAACAUCUGGAGAGCCGGAGUUUAGGGAAGCGUGCGGAAACAAUAAUUAUGUGCUAGAGUUUCUUUGUUUAGGGAAGCCUGCGAAUAGGACUACACAAUUAAAGGACCAGAAAACCAUACAUGACGUUGCUCAUUUCUGUUAUUUGAGUCUUACUGGGGAUGAGAAUACUUCAGAAUGUUCUUAUGGAAUGAACUUGUAUGUUACCAAAUGUUUCUGUUUAAUCAUUUCAAUGCAGUUCCGCUAAUAGAAUUACGUUAUUUAUUUAUUAUAUGAUCAUGUUAUAGAAAAAAAAGAGUGUAGAAUUAGUGGACCUUUUGGUGCAAUUUAAAAUCACGUGUAAGCAGAUGAAACCUUUUAAAACGACUCUACGCUUUUGCCAAAUAGAAUUAGAAUUCUGUAGAUGUUCUGUUUCAGAUACUUGUAAUUCUUGCGAGCCAGGACCAACAUAAAACAACGAUAAUUGCCGAUAUUAAUUAUAAGUGAAAAGUUUUUUUUAUUUAUUGUCUAGACAAUUUGUUACUAGGUAAAACUGUAGCCUCAUUAAGUUGAGUAUUACCUUAAUGGAAUAUGGAAAAAAAAAACACCAUCAACAUGCUGUCAGCCGGGAAGGACUUACAACACUUAGCGAACAUCAUUCGUAAUAGUCACCUAAAUGGCAGAGUACAUUGACAGUCCAAAUAAAUAGCACAUUGUGAAAUUUAUCACUGAGCACUAAUUUAAUUAACUAAGGUGCCUUUCCUUGUUGAUGAUGCUCAGAUAGUUACAAUGUUUCAAGGGACGUCAAGUCCCAGGAGAUCAAGGGUAUUGCUGUAGUUUGAAGGACAAAUAACUUUUUAUUAAAACUUAUUGAUAAAUGUACAUCAGCGAUAUAUUAGUUACUAGAUAAUAUUCAAAUAACAUAAUUAGCUAAUAUUGUAUGUGAUGCGUUUUAAUUUCCUGUGUGUGUUUUACGUUAGAUGUAAUGUUGAAAAAUGUAAGUGCCCAGCUGCAGAUCUUAUGGAUUGAGAUGUUUAAAUAAAAGAAAACCCACGAGGUAGCUAUAGAUACGUUGGAGCUGAUUACUUGUCAUAAUGCCACAGGUCUAUCUUACGCUACCUCAGGUUAUUUCCCCAAUUUCUGGUACUUUGGGAAACCAGAGGAAAUUACUGAAAACUUCAGCUAGAAAAACUACGUACAUCGAAGAUUGUGCUGUCUUCAGAACACACAGCAUUCCGUGCAUGCGCAGAGCAAGGUGAUUGCUGAUGGCUGAUGGUUAUACAUUAUAGGUUAUUAUGCACACCUAUUGACUAACACGCUACCUGUGCCAGCAUUGGUUUCUCCUUGUCUUAGGUGUACACCAGGAGAUUAUUUGCAUCUAAGCUUUACUUAAAAAAAAAAUACUAAUGUUAAAAUACAUAUAUGUAGUUUCUGCAAGUGCCAUUAGGGGUUUAUAGAAUGCUUAUUCUGGAUUCCUGUGCGCCAAAUAAUUACCAUCUGUUAUGUCUUAUUGCUGUUUGAAUGAAGAUAAUGAAUACUUUAUAAGGAAGCUAAAAUGAUUACCUUUACAAUUGUUCUAAAUGCUGUAAUAGAAGAUUCAGGUUGUUUUAACUCUUCCUGUACCAUAACAGAGUGCUACCCAACACUUUGCUCAUUCUUCCAUCAUUAAAGGUUUUAAGUGUGGCUGCAGAUAGACGGACAUCGCAAUCAAUACUCGUAAUAAGUACUUUCUCUGCUAUUACAUUUCACAUAAAGUCUUAAUUGGAAAAAGAAACCCUAAGACGGCAGAUUUCCAAAGAAAAUUAUUAGCUAAAAAUCAUAUUUACAAUGGCACCGUGUCCUGAUAAUAAGGACCUCUAGAUCUUUUUCACAUUGGCGUAUAACAUGAUUGCAGAUCAUGCAGUCUAUAUUCCUGUUACCAGGAAAACUAACUGACCCACUUAGUAACUGAAAAACUGCAGAUUGUGUUAUAAUAUAAACACAAUUUAUUACAGGAGCCGUGCUCCACAUUAUCUUCAGCUCUCUACCAACCAACCAAGACUAAUUUCAAAUUUAAAAACGGAAGGAAGGAAAGAAGGGAGGAAGAAAGGAAGGGAGAGAGAGAGGAAGGAAGGAAGGAAUAGAAGACAGAAGAAAGAGAGGGAGGGUGGAAGCAAGGAAGGAUGAGAGGGAGGGUGGAAAGAAGAGAAGGAGGAUGGAAAAGGGGAAUGAAGAGAUGGAGGGACGGUGGAAGGCAGAGAUGGAGGAAGGAAUGAAGAGAGGUAGGGAGGGAGGAAGGAAAGGAAAGAGAGAGGGAAGGGAGGGAGGGAGGGAGGAAGGAAGUGGAGGAGGAAGGGAGGGAGAAAGGAAGGAAAAGAGGGCAGAAGGAAAGAAGGAAGAGAGUAAGAAAGGAAGGAAGAAAGGGAGGAUGGAAGGACAAGAGGGCGGAAGGAAAAGAGGAAGAAAGGAAGGGAGGAAAGUAGGAAAGAAGGAAAAGUUGAAGGAAGGGAGGAAGGAAGAAAAUAAGGAAGGAAUAUAGGGAGGAUGGAAGGAAGAGAGGGAGGAAGGAUGAGAGAAAGGAAGGAAGGAAGGAAGAAAGGAAGGAAAGAAGAGAGGGAUAAAGGAAGGAAGAGAAGGAGGGAUGAUGGAAGAAAUAGAUGUAGUGAGGGAGGAAGUAAGAAAGAGAGGAAGGGAUUUGAGGGAGGGAGGAAGGAAGGGAAAAAGGAAGGAAAAGAGGGCAGAAGGAAAGAAGGGUUAGAAAGAAAGGAAGAAAGGGAGGAUGGAAGGACAAGAGGUAGGAAGAGAGGGUGGAAGGAAGAGAGUAAGGAAGGCAGAAAGGAAGGAAGAGAGGGAGGGAGGUAGGAAGGAAGAGAGGAAUAUAGAAGGAAGGAAGAGUGGGAGGAAGGGAGGAAGAUGGGGAGGAAGGGAGGGAGGAAGGAAGGAAGAGAGGGCAGAAGGAAAAAAGGAAGAGAGGAAUGAAUGAAGGAAACUCACACAGAUUAAUUUUAUUCUCAUAAAUCAUAUGUUUGUUCACAGUAUGUAAGAUCUGAGCAUUGAGUUCACUGCUAUACAGCGUUGGAUACAAUUCUGAUUGAUGUUGGCUAUACUGAAGAGGACAAUAAAACACAGUACAAGAGAUAGAUGAUGUGUCUGGGUUUGCUCACAGUUCACUAAGUCACACUUGAGUAAGACUUCGACCAAACCAUGAAAGGUGUGUCUGCUUAAAAACCUCUUCUCUCUGAAAUUCUAAAUUUCUUCUUUGAUGUAGCACACAUGAUUAAUCUAUAUUUAUUACAAUAAGAUCAUGGCAUGCUGAUAUUGUUUGCAAAUUACUGCAGCCAAAAACAAAAGGCCCACACGGCUUCUGCCCUGAGACGAUAGGAAAAUCAAUGCAUUUAGCCUUUGGGGAUUGCAAACUCGAUACCUGGGGAAGUAAAAUACUUUUUAAAUAAAAAUGAAGAACGCAACCCAUAGCAUAUAUUACACAUCAGUUCUCUUCGGUACGAGGCUACUGUACGUUACUCUAAACAAAACAAAACAACACAUUGACUUAUUCACUAAACUCCAUACUGUAGUGAAUGGAAAUAUAACUGGCAACAUUUAGGAUGGAAUAGCCAGUACAAUAUCUGUACAGAACUGAAGCUAUUUUUACCUAAACGCUUUACGUUUGCUGCAAUUCAGAACUUAAAUCUCAAAGGUGUGAUCGAGCGGUGUGCCAGAAAGUUACACCAGUUUGCCUUGCCAAAUUACCCUCCACAUUCAACAAGUCAGUCUUUUCCUGCACCUUUAAGUGAAUUUCAAUUAAUUCCUUCUUGAAUUACAAAAUAAAAAACAACUAUAUCUUUGCAUCGCUUUAAGUAAAGUUUAUAGUUUGUUAUUUUUUUUAUUUUUUUAAAACUUUUUUAUUUUACAAAAGGUACAGAUUUUAAAAGAAAUUUACACUUUUAUAAAUUAUACUUGUUACACCCUCCUUGGCUGUCAAUCAGGUAAGCGGUCCUGUUACUUCCUGGUUUGGUGGACUCAGUGGAAUUAAACUCAACAAGCAGCAAUAGCUCAGAGCACCUUCUUUGCAAAGACUUCUCAUUGACUCAUUGAGCUGCAUUGGGAAGUCUGUGAUUGGACAGUUACAGAAAGUCUGGGCGGGGUUAGAAGAGGAGUGCUUGUAAAGGCUGCAUACAAGAGAUUUUGUUUUUAGAUAAACCUCCAAUGACAAAAUGUAUUAUUAAAUACAUGCUGUGGCAGACCGCCUGGCACCCAGACUGGGUACCUCCACCAAUCGCACUUCCUAGUAUCACUGAGUACUAUAAGCACCACACCAGACACCAUAACCACUGUAGUCCCCUUAGCCACCGCAGCUUGGCUGGGGUCUUGCCGUCCCUUCCCACCCUGGACCAACAUCUAGAUCCACCUCCCAGUGAGAAGACCUCUCCUCCAAGAAAGUAUAGCAAAUAUAGUAAUCCAAAUAGCAGUAUAGUAAUCCCCCCCCCACACAUGAGCCAAGGCUUAAUGCUGGGAAGUAGUCUGUUUAUUCCAGGGCCACACACGGCCUUUUUAUGCAAUAGCCCAUGCAAGGGAUUUCUUACACAAGGAUAUCUAAGAAGCAAACAUAUAAUUCAAUUAUCUCUCAGGUACAAAAAAUAUACAAUUUAUAAAACCCCACAAAAGUUACAUCCCCUGAUAGUCCCGAUCUGGGUGAACAACAUAUCCAAAAAUCACCCAGAUCGGUUCUGGGGUUCAGGAUUUCCAUGGAAGUCAAUUAUUUGACCGACUGUGCACAUGGUCCUAUGCCCAAAAUAGUUCCAUGAAAUCAGUGCUAACGGUCAGUCUCUUUCGGGAGUCCAAAAGUGCAUAAAAUACCAAAUGGAAUCCAUAGUUAACCCGUGUAACUUGUUCACCUUGUUCGUGGGAAUGAUUCCACCGAACAGUGCCCUUCCAAGUUGUAUAGAAACGAAUACAGGCAAUGAUGGAAGUCCAGUGGUGUUUGGAAGUUUCAGUGUCCGAUUUCAGUUCCAUGAGCUCAACGCCCAAACACCUCUGGCUGCAUUCCCUGGAACAAGAUGGCCGCCACCUCGUGGUCAUUCAUACAAAAUGUGGCCACCCAGAUGAACAAUUAGAACACUGCGGUGUAACUCGAAUCCCUCCCAUGAUCCUUUGUGCCUGAGAGAUAAUUAUCUGAGAAGCACACAUAUAAUUAAAUUAUCUCUCAGGUACAAAAAACAAACAAUUUAUAAAACACCCCAAAAUACCUCCAAAACAUAUGAAAAUCACACAAAAGUUACACCCCCUUAUAGACCCGAUAUGGGUGCCCAACAUAUCCAAAAAUCACCAAGAUCGGUUCAGGGGUUCGGGAUUUCCAUGGAAGUCAAUUAUUUGACCGACCGUGCACAUGGUCCUAUCCCCAAAACAGUUCCAUGAAUCAGUGCUAACAGUUGGUCUUUUUUGGGAGUCCAAACGUACAUAAAAUACCGAACGGAAUCCAUAGUUAAGCCAUGUAACUUUUUCACCUUGUUCGUUGGAAUGAUUCCACCGAACACUGCCCUUCCAAGUUGUAUAGAACCGAACGCAGGAGAUGAUGGAACUCCAGCGGUGUUCGUGAGUGUCAGUGUCCGAUUUCAGUUCCAUGAGCUCGAUGACCAACAUCGCUCAAUGCGUUCACGGGAACAAGAUGGCCGCCACCUUGUGGUCGUUCAUACGAAAUGCGGCCACCCAGACGAACAAUUAGAACACUGCGGUGGAACUCGAUACGAGGUGUCAAUUGGGCUUAACAAGCACACGGGUGGUGUCUGAUUCGUGCGGUUGUUCAGUUCCCGAACAAUAUAAUCCAAAUCACACAGAGCUCAUAACAGAGCCUUUUAAAGUGUAUUUUACAAGGUAUCUUGCAGGGCCCAUAGUCCUGAGGCAGGACGCUGGCAACCAGACUCCUCCAGGAGCCCGUAGCGAGGGUAUGUUGACCACACAUGCCUGUUUUCAUUUGGGGUAUAUCUACUAAACAGUAAUUUUUAAAAAAAAAUUAUUUGGGCAGUGAAGUGUCCCUUUAACUGGGAAUUGUGGCAUAUUGACAAGGAAACAACAUGUUUUAGGUCCAAAUGGUUGAACUGGAAACAGCCAAGUAGCAGAAUGUUUACAUUUGAGCUAUUUUGACCCAACCGUUACAAUUCCAGUCCUCAUUAGACUGUAUAUCCUUUAGAAAAUUGCCAUUAGCAAUCUCUCACUUUUCAUUUAGCGCAGUGUUUCCUGGGAAUGACCGUCUAGCUCUGCAGGUGCCCUGCUAGCAGCCAGAUUAAUCUGUCUGCCUAAUUUACACAGUAACCUUGUCAGCAUAAAAAGGCUCCAAGGGUCUCAUUCUGUGUCUAGCUCAAACAGUUCCCUAGUUGGAAAAGUAGCUACUAGUUUACAAUAUGUUAUCCUUCUAUCUAUCUAUCGCUCUCUCUCUCUCUCUGUCUGUCUGUCUGUUCAUCUGCCUGUAUGUCUGUUCAUCUGCAUGUUUCUCUACCUAUCUGUCUGUCUGUUUGUCUGUGUGUACGUUCAUCCGUCUGUUUCUCUGUCCAUCUGUCUGUCUGCCUAGAAAUGUAUAACUAACUAUAUACUCAGUGGCCACUUUAAUAAGUUAAAGUAGAUCAAUUUAGCUAAACAUUAAACAGCUUUAUAAGAAGCGUGCUGAUAUGGGCUAAUGGUUUAGUUGCAACCAAAUAUUUAAUUACCGAAGAGCAAUAAACUAAGCAAUUUUGACAUUUUGACGAUCGUAUGAUAAUUGAUAUUAGACAUGGUGGUUCCAGCUUCUCCGAAACAGUUGAUCUCCUGGGAUUCUCAUGCAAUCCGUUCUCUAGAGUUUACAGUAAAUGGUAAGAGAAACAUAAACAUCCAGUGGAUGACAUUUCAUUCUGUGAAAACACCUUAAUGGAGACAUCACAGCAGAAUGGCCAGUCUCACACACGCUGGUAGAAAAUUCAUGAAUAUGCAGGUAACCUCUUUAGAACAGCAGUGUGCAGAAUGGCAUGCUGCAAGAUUAAACCUGGAUACAAGACAUAUAGGAUUUAACACAGGAUUCUGGGAAAUAAUGUAAUUGAGAGGUUCUGGAGACAUUGUUUGCAAUGUCAUGUUAUGAACGCCAAGCAUUGCUUACCCUUAAGGGGUACUUUGUCAGAAUACAACUAUUUGAUAUUUUUUUGGGGGGGCAGAAUUUUUUAAUUAUAAGGAACAUGUCCGGGUGUGCCUGUGAUAGGUGGGAGUUACACUCCUAUGCAGCUGAUGUUUUUUUAUAUCUGUCAUAAUCAAUGUGUCCUUCCCCAGGUAAUGAUAAACCAGGAGAGCAGCUGUGGAGACAGAUGUGUGCUGUUUCUGUCUCCUCGGCUCCUCUUCUGACAUAUUUCACUAAUGUCAUACAGGUUAAGGGACAUUAAACACACAAAAAUACAGUUUAACAUUUUAUAAGGCUGCUUAACCCCUUAAGGACCAAACUUCUGGAAUAAAAGGGAAUCAUGACAUGUCACACAUGUCAUGUGUCCUUAAGGGGUUAAAAUCACCUACCUCAGCAAACAAAUACGGGGAUUCAAUGGCCAUAUGUUCCUUAAUCUGUUUUUUUGUAUACAUUUUGGUCUUCACGGGCACACCACCCCUGAGAAAUGCGUGUUCCGGGAGUGCCCCUUAUCCCCCUUUUUUUUGCAUGCUACAGACAGACACACAGAUGUGGAUACACAAAGAAUGAAGGACAUUCAGACACUGACACACAUCUUACAUUGUUGUAUGCAGACUGAUUGACAUAAACUGUGGAGUUUAUAUCAUAUUUUUAAAAUGGUUAUUUUCACUUAAAAUUCACCAAUCUGUAUUUUGUUUAUAUUUUGGUCUCUACGGCAGCACCAUUGCUGAGAAAUGCAUGUUCUGGGGUGCCUCCAAUUCCCUUCUUUUCUUUUUUUUUUUUUAUACUGUAUUUCAUAAUGCCUACUGAUUUUGGGCAGAGAUGUCCUAGUCUUAAAACAUGAUUUAUCUACCUAUUGAUACCUGUAUACUUAGGGGGGUUUUUUAAUGCUUGUUUAGGUUUUGCAUCUUGCAGCGUUGUUUUUGUGUGAUAUCUUUUUUCAUCCAGUCAUUCAGUUCUCUUACUUACCCAUUUUCUGAUACAUCUUGUCAACUUCAGUGAAUACCUACGGAUCAGCCUGGAGAGAGACAGCUUGAAUCUCUUCAUCUGUUUGACUGAUGCGGAACUCUCUGUGCAACUGCAAAAGACUCAUUAACAUUAACAUAACAGUAAAUGAACCUUUCUAAUAGUGUGCUGGAUUUAUAAUAUUUAUAUUGCUUUCUUUCCUAUUGAGAGAGUGACGAGAGAGGCCAAUCAAGGAUGUAAAAAUGCAAGCAUGCCACUUAGGGCUCUUGUAUUUAAAGGGACACUCCAAGCACUGCAAGCACUGCAACCAAUACUAUUAACUGCAAAAAAAAAUUUCAACAGAUAAUGAGAAAAUUAACAUCCACAUUAUCACGUCUUAAUUGGAGGGGUGGGUGUAGUGUGCUUAAUAAACAGUAAUCAUUUUUAAAAGCAAUUCUACCACUUUUACACAUAGCUUACUAUAUAUAUUGCACUAUAUACAUAAUACUUGUUUGCAUUUGGAUCUCAGCAGUAAGUUCCAGCUCUGAGUGAUAAGAUUAGAGGAGAGAUGCAUUUAUUGCCACGUAUCUGUAGGCAGCAAUCCUAUGCUUAAAGGACCACUAUAGUACAGGAAAACAUACUUGUUUUCCUGGUACUAUAGUGCCCUGAGGGUGCCCCCCUGAGUUCCCCGUCCCGCCGGGCUCUAGGGGGUGGAAGGGGUUAAACUUACCUCUUUCUCCAGCGCCAGGCGGGGGACUCUCCUCCUCCUCUCCUCCUCCAUAGCGACGUCAUCGGCUGAAUGCGCAUUCGCGGCACAAGCCGCGCGCGCAUUCAGCCACUCCAUAGGAAAGCAUUCAUAAUGCUUUCCUAUGGACGCUGGCGUCUUCUCACUGUGAAAAUCACAGUGAGAAGCGCGGAAGCGCCUCUAGCGGCUGUCAAUGAGACAGCCACUAGAGGCUGGAUUAACCCAUUUAUAAACAUAGCAGUUUCUCUGAAACUGCUAUGUUUAUAGAAGAAAGGGUUAAUCCUAGCUGGACCUGGCACCCAGACCACUUCAUUAAGCUGAAGUGGUCUGGGUGCCUAUAUAGUGGUCCUUUAAGGUAAAAAGAUUAAGAAUUAAAUUAUUUCUUGUGUUAAACCUGCACACUAAGCUCUUAUAAACAGAUGUUUUGGCUUAUUUAUGGUAAACUAAUUAUUAUAACAUUUACUCAAUAUGUCCAGCUCUGCCAAAUUUGUUGGCACCAUGUUUAAUGGAUGAUAAUAUUAAUUAUAGGGUUAUUCUCUAAAGUCAGAAUUGUCAGUAAUUCAAAUUUGAGGCCAAAAUAAGCAAACUGAAUGGUGACUUGGAGAAUUGUUUUAGUUCAACUAUUUUGGCCUUAAAUUUGAAAUUCACAAGACUUCUCACUUAAAUGAAUAACUGUGCAAGUUUAUUUGUAGCCAGGAGUUGUUCAUACUGGUCUCUGUCUGUCAAUCGAUUUUAAAUGCACCAAUUGCUGUAGAAUUUUCUACCGCUGUAUAGAUAAUUGAUAAUAUUAAUUCUAAUAAAGUUUUGUCAUGUAAUAUUCCAAAAUGUUGUGUUGAGUUUAUAGAUGUGUUUGUAGCAGAUGUUUUUCACGCAAACUUGCCCACACUUGUUUAUUAUAAAUUAGUUUAUGGAUACAGUGUUUAAUGCAGUUUACAAACAAGGGAUUUCAAAUAGGAGUUGAUCAGUCACGUCAAGCGUGUGUGUGGGGGGAGGAGGGCAGAAGUUUUAUUUUUAGAUGAAAUUGUUACUGAACCUUAAGAAAUCCUAUUUUAUUCCAUACAAUAAAAUAGUAUCCCAUGCCUCACCUUUCUGUCAAUCCCUACAUUGGCUUCCUGUAAGAUGUAGGGCUCAAUUUAAAAUUCUGGUUCUUGCUUUCAAAUCUCUACAUAAUGCUGCUCCCACCUAUCUGUACUCCCUAAUACACAAGUAUGUCCCGUCUAGGCCCUUACGCUCUGCUGAAGACUUACGUCUAUCUUCUGUCCAUACUCCCACUUCUGAUGCUCGCGUUCAAGGUUUCUCGAGGGCUGCACUGUUCCUGUGGAACUCACUUCCCUCCUCCAUUAGAUGCUCACCCAGUUUCCACUCCUUCAAAAAAUCGUUAAAAACCCACUUCUUCAUAAAAGCGUAUCAAUUAAACUGUUAAUAGCUCCUGACUGAUUCCUCUUCUGCAACUGUCACUAGUCUAAUACUAUCCUUGCCUUUUGUGUCACUCUUGACGUUGGCAGGCGGGCAUUCCCUCCGAUGGCCAUUUGAGCAGCUAAAUUACCUCCAUUUGUCUAGAUAUACAUGGGGAUUAAGGAGAGAGCGCAGGUAACUUUUUCUUUUCUUUGGUUUUUACUAUAUAUUGGGGCUGAUGUGCACUGUAGUCAUUGCUGCCGGCCCAGUAGUGAUGGGAGUGAGCACAGGACUUAUCUUUUUGUAUUUACAUUUACUUUGUAUCACACAGCCUUGUUACAAUGCUGCCGCCCAUCCCAUGUGUUCCCUAUUAAGGGUUAAUAAGUAUAUAGGGGUGUAUAUAAAAAAUACCCCUCUGUCUCAUUAGAGAUAUCUUUGCCAGAAACUCAAGGAAGCAGGCUAAAGGGUCAGUGUAGGACCCGCUUAGGGGGGUCUACCUUGACGUUGGCAGGCGGGCAUUCCCUCCGAUGGCCAUUGGAGCAGCUGAAUGACCUCCAUUUGUCUAGAUAUACAUAGGGAUUAAGGAGAGAGCGCAGGUAACUUUUUCUUUUCUUUGGUUUUUACCUGUGUCUUAGGUUUGACUUCAAAGUCAGUAGUGUCAAUCAACCCAACACUUAAAUCUGAUUAAAUCAGCAAAGUAAAGAGAUAGAGAUGUAAAUAAACCACUACAAAAACGUAAAGGGAAACUAUAGUGUCAGGAAAACAAACUCAUUUUCUUGGCACUCUGUCUACCCCUCCGUCAAGCUCCCCCACCCCGUGAUCCCUUCUGUCACUUACCUGGGUCCAGCACCAAUGUCUUCUCGGCUGGGGAGACCUAAUGCACGCCAAUGCUAGAAUUAGGAUUUCCCCAUAGGGGGGUGUCGCUGGAUGUCCCCAUGUACAGUGUGAGGACGUCCAGUAUCAGUUAGGCAACCAAAAGUUGCCUAACAGCCGGGAAAUCCCUUAAGUAGCUGUCUGGUAGACAGUCACUAGAGGUGGAACUAACCCUAGCAGGUCAUUAUUGCAAUUUCUUAAAAGCUGAAAUAAUUACCUGCUCAGUGUUAAGGGACCUGGGACAAUGCACCCAGACCACUUCAAUGAGCUGAAGUGGUCUGGGUGCCUUCAGUGUCCCUUUAAGGGAAAGCAGUAACAUUGUAGCGAUCCCUGUCCUGUUCUACAAAACUGGAGAGAUACAUGUUCUGAAAAUUGGAGAACUGUGAUUAAAUACUCCUUCAUAAAAUAUCAUUCAGUCACAUAGACUUCAAUCUGGGUUAAUAAAGAUUUUCAUCAAACUAAGUCUGAUGCGUAGAGGCAUCAUACUAAUGAGUAACAGUUAGUGAUUUUUUAAAUUCCUUUUUAGAAAAAAAAUUAGUUUUACUCCCCUCCCCUCCUAAUAGACAGAUCAAUCGAUAGAUCAUCAAUGUCUUAGAGGUUUGAAUACCCUAAUAUAUCCUCUAAUAAACUUACACCGCUGUAUAUUUGCUGCGUGUGAAUAUCAGUAUAUUCUGCAGUGUAUGGAACGCAUAUUUUUAUAUUCAACAGGCAUUCUGCCAGCCUAGUAUUUUACACCUUACGGAGAGCUUCAUUAAAACCUGUAAAACCAAGGACAUUUACUUCCGAAGCCUGCAUAGUCUCCUUCUCGAUCCUCUUAUUUCUGGGAAUCACUGACCAGAUUAUCGUAAAAUGAUUUAUAGCCACUUUCACUCUUUUUGGCGGGGUUCCAAUGUAUCAAAAAAAAAAACUCAGUCACCCAGACUGGGCUGAUUAAAUCGUCAGUGAGAUCGAAACUUUCUAAUCACUCUUCUUGAGUCUCCAUUUCCCUAUAAGACGUAAAAGUUAAUAAAACAAUAUAUCUUAGUGUUCUGCGUGUCAAACAAGACAGCCUACUCAGUGUUAUGAAACGGGGAUAAAGUGUUUGUAAUACUCGUGAUCUGUGCAACAAUAUCGCUACAGAAAAAAAUAAUGAGUAGUUAGUGAAUGUGGAUACAGGGGGAAAUUGCAACCAGAGUACUACUUUCUGUGUCAGAGUGCGUUUUUUACUAUGUCACACUUUGUAUCUCUGACUAAUGGAAUUGUGAUUUAAAAAAAAAAAAAACUGGAAUUCUAGCAAAUGCGCUGCUGACCUUAUGGAUGGUUUGAUGAUAACAUAAUCCUUUAAGCUAGUAACAGUUGUCAUGGCAAUAAGUCUACCUUGGCUCCGUAAUGCUUUGUGAGUAGUUUAUACGCCUAUGACUCUCUUUUUUUUUUUUUUCCCUUUAUGUCUCUGAAAGAUUUUUUUUUCUUACAAAUGAAAAAGAAAAAUAUGACGGAGUGAAAAGGCAGUGAAAUGAACAGCAUACUCUAAAAGUCUUCAGGGUCAACGGCACUGAGUAUGUAAUGUAUCUCCGAGAUUACUCUAACAGCCUAGUGUGAGACUGUAUAGGUUAGCAUUAUAGUAAGCAGACAGUAUAUUCCAGACAUGUCACUUAAAACAAAACUGUCACAUGCCAGAUUUUUUAUAGUAGUAUUCUGGGGGUUUUUUUCUUCAAGUUUUUAAAAAGAAAAUUUUAGUUCUGAAGCUUUUAUAUUUAUUAAUUAAAGGGACACUGCAGUUUGCUUAAAAGUUUAUGUGUGUCCUCUUUUUUUUAUUUUAUAAAAAGUGCAGCUUUCAAUAGAAAUUGACACUUUUUAUGAAUUAUACCAGUUACAUCCCCCUGGCUUUCAAGCAGACAAACUGACCUGUUACUUCCUGGUUGUUUAACUCAGUGGAGCUCAAGUUCAAGAGGCACGAAUUACCCAGAGCACCUGCUUUGCAAAGACUUCUCAUUGAGCUGCAUUGGGAAGUCUGUGAUUGGACAGUCACAGAAAGUCUGGGCGGGGUUAGAAGGUGAGGGGUUUGUAAAUGCUGACAAAUUGCAGACAAACGAUCUACAGCUUUUGCAAGCUGUUUUUAAGAUAUAACCCCACAUGAAAAAAAUGCAUAAUGAAAUGCAUGGAAGUUUCCAUUUAAGGUAUAUCUACCAAACAAUAUAUUUAUUUUAUAUUUGGGUACCAGAUUGUCCCUUUAACAUGGUAUGCCUGGACUGAUGCAGGCCAAUGUUUAUUAAACUAACUGUCACAAUGCUGUACAUGCAUGCACAGGCACACUGAGGGCACAAUGGAAGCGAUGCCCGCAUGCACAUUUACCUAUACAGCAUUUUUCUGUAGAUGUUUAAACACAUGAAUGCAUGGGGGACAUUAAUGGCGCCUACAACACAGAAAUGCUGCUGACCAGGGACAUAUUAGCCGCGAGGCAAACAAGGCAUUUGCCCUGGGCAGCAUUUUCCAGGGGGCGGCCAAAAAAGCCGCCCCCAAAUGCCCAGGGCAAAUGUCUUGUUAGCCUUGCGGCUAACUGACAACCCAGGCGGCUCUGCUCAGCUCCCUCGCGCACCGCAGAGUAAUGCCGGGACGACAUAUUCCGGCUCCCGGCAUCACUUUGCGGCGCGUGAGGGAGCUGAGUAGACCGCUCAGGGGAAAGUGCUUCCUCGCCAGCGCCACCCGCCCAGCAGCCACUGGACUCCAGGGAAAGGGAGAAACCCCCCCUGCAUUCCAAAGGUAAGGAGGCUGGGGGAGUUAAAUAAAAAUAAAAAAAAAGUGAGUGUGUUAAUGUCAGUGUGUGUGUCUGUUAGUGUGUGUGUCUGUGUGUGUGUCAGUGAGUGUAUGUGUGUGUCUGUUAUGCCUCGUUUCCACUGAGCGGAUCGGUUCGGGUCGGUACAGUUUGGAAGGUUUAGAAUGGUCCAGCCCAUUCUGGUGAGCAUUUCCACUGCAAGCCAGACCUUCAGGGGCCAUACAGGGUUUAGAAAAAAGGCUCUUCCUGUCCACCAAUCAAUGGAUUGUAUAGUAGCUCCGUCCUAACUGAACCGUUCCAUUUCCUAUGGCCCUACAUCUGAAGCAGGACCCUGAAUGGAUCGGUACGGUUAGCUUAUAUGGACCACUUUCAUAAUGGAAACACCCAAAAUAGCGAACCGAACCGAACCAAAGCGAUCCACUCAGUGUGUCUGUCUGUUAGUGUGUGUGAGUGUGUGUGUCUGUUAGUGAGUGUGUGUGUGUGUGUCUGUUAGUGAGUGAGUGUGUGUCUGUGUGUGUCUGUUAGUGAGUGUGUUUGUCUGUUAGUGUGUGUGUGAGUGUGUGUUUGUAGUGAGUGUGUGUGUGUUUGUCUGUUAGUGAGUGUAAGUGAGUGUAAGUGUGUUUGUCUGUUAGUGUGUGUGUGUCUGUUAGUGUGUGUGUGUCUGUUAGUGUGUGUGUGUCUGUCUGUUAGUGUGUGUAUGUCUGUUAGCUAGUGUCUGCAAAUCUGUCAGUGAAUGUGUGUGUAUUUAGAAGGCGGGGCAGGGGGGAAUGGUUGGGUGGGGGUGGCACGGGGGUGGGGGUGCGCCUGAGUUUUGUCCUGCCUAGGGCAGCACAAAAUCAGGAAACACCACUGCUCCUGACUGUGUUUCUUUUUCUUUUUUUUAACUUACCUCUGCUAUAUUCAGUAGUGUUAACUGGUAUGAGGGAACUGGUAUCUGUCACCUCCAGUGAGGUUUUAAAGGUUAAUAUUUAUACACCUAUAAUUAUAGGUUUACACGGGAAUCUAGUCCCUACAUUUGGGUGAGUGACGAGCCACUAAUAAAAUAUAAGUCUACUAAAUGCUAAAGUAAUUUCGUUAUACGCUCACACUGGGCUUUACAGGAACUCUUUCUGUGAUGUCUCCAGAAUAAACAUUCCAGAAUAAAAAACACAGAACAUUGAAACCGGAGUCCAAUAUGCUACUGUUCUAUUGGACCUGGGUCUAGGGAUGGUAGGUGACUGCCUCAAUAUUGCAGAUAUUGCGUAUUAUUGUUGCUAGAAUACUGCGGAAUCUAUUUAAGUAAUCUAUAUUUCAUCCUUUUGAAAAUCUAUGUUACUUGCGAAUCAGCCAGCAUCGGUAAGAGUUUUUAUCACCUAUUUACAUUCUUACGUCUAUUGUAUCGUCCUUUUAUAGACGUAAGAUCCCACAUUCUGUUCCGUGAGACAAGCUUGCCAAAUAUAGGAAUAUUUUUACUUGUGCAGUCCCCAUAAAAUCCUCACUGUCGCAGCUUUGGUAUUUUGUUUAAAUGUUCUAUUUUUUUAAUUGAUGAACUGGAUUAUUGUGUUCCUGUCAUCUCCAGGCUUUGGUUCAUAGCUUUACUUGGGAGUAUGAGAAGUUUCAAAUGAAAAUGUAAAACGUUUAGAGUGUUCUUUAACCCUGUAAAUGCCAGACACCCCCUCGUAUCUUUCCUAUCCAGAGGAAAUUGAUGCAUAUGUUGCAAUUGUAGCAAUUGCACCAAUCAAAAGCAGUAUUCACAACAAUUGGCAAUCGCCCCAUAAAAUACUCUUCAUAUCAAAGCAUUAGACUAACAUAUGAAAGUUCUGGCUUGACUACCAAGAGGGUAUUCAUAAAGUAUUUCAUAAAAGUGCAGUUUUCUCUUGAAAUUAUUACUAUUCUGAAUUGAAAACAUGCAGUAACCCCUAAAACACGAGAGUUGAAGUGUCUGAAAUAUCUCUAUUUCUAGGAGGAACAGUCUCGCUAGCCCUCUUCUCAAUCUCAAUGAGUAGUUAGUGAAUGGGGAUACAGGGGGAAAGUGCAACCAGAGUGCUACUUUCUGUGUCAGAGUGCGUUUCGUACUAUGUCACACUUUGCUAUGAUCCAUACUUUGGGUGAAUAUUAGCUCACUUUGCAACUUUUAAUAUUAUAUUAUUAACUACAAUACAUAUGCUUAGAGAUUAGUAUGUGGCAAUUAACUACUUUGGUUUUGUUCUUAAUUACUUUUUCAACUUGCCUUUCUAGGCUGUAUUUGGAAUUGUGAAGAGUUCGUGGGGGCAUUCCAAAUUGUAGACAAAAGUAGCAUGUGUCGGACCGCCUGGCACUCCGACUGGGUGCCUCCGCCAAUCGCUGCUUCGUAGUGCUUAACGAGUACCACAAGCACAGCACCAGACACCAUCAGCACCAUAGUCCCCACUUCCAGUGUUACAGCUUGGCUGGGGUCUCGCCCUCCUCCAACCACCCUGGACCCAAGACGAGGAUCCAGCUUACAGUGGGCAGUCCUCUCCUACUCCAGAGAGAGUAGCAGGCUGCUUUUACAAGAGCAAGUUAUUUUAACGCAGAGGAGUACAGCGAUAUAGCAAUCCCCAGGGUAGAUACAGCCGUUUCCCCCACACAUGAGACGAGGCUCUAUGUUGAGGGUAAUCAGGUAGCCACAACUGGCCUUUUAUGCAAGUCCCCAUGCAAGGGGCACUCCCCCCUGGACCUAAGAGUAAACCACAUUAGAAACAAAUACACAAUCGCAUUGGCUCUCACUUCCAUGACACUCCCACACAUUAUAUAUUAAUCCCUCCUCUGUACCUGGGAGAUAAUUGAGUCAAGCACUGAACUAAACUCAAUUAUCUCCAGACGCAAAACACAUAAAUAUAAACCCUGCAAAAUACCUUACAAAAUACAUAAAACCCCACAAAACAUCCCCUGAUGGCCCCAAUCUGGGUGAACAACAUACCCCAAAACCACCCAGAUCAGUGGUCCCAUGCCCAAAACAGUUCCAUAGAAUCGCGGCUCUGUGCUGCUGGGGGACCGACCGGGAACUGCAAAAUUUUCAUGCUGGAAAUAGUUCAUGGGCAUUCGUGGCUAAGUCCCCCUGAAGUCUAUUUGCGGUUUUGGUCCAUGUGAAUGGCCGCUAGUGAGCUAGCAUUCGGUUCUGUUUACGUAGGGGAACCAGGGGGAAUAAAAUAUGGGUCUUUACAGUCGCUGACCUGGCCCAUAGUCUUUUGACAAGCAGGCCCCUCCAAGCACCCGUGACCACAUAGCAGAACUAUAAAAACUCUCCUUGCUAAUGUGCUUUUCCAAUCUGUUAUUUUAGCCUGACGUUUGAAAUGUCCAAUGCCUGUGAUUCCUAAUUUAAUGUGUAAACCCCUGUGACAUUCAUUUGAAUUGAAACAUUUAGCAUUUAAUUUUGUGUCAGUUGUUUUUAUAAACUUUUAUAAUCUGAAAUCACAUAAUCGCUUAUUAUAGAUGGUGGAAUCAAUACCAGCCAGUAUCAUUGUAUCACUAUUGUAUUGCAGGCACAAAGGACUCAUGGGUCCAUUUAUAUAGGUAAGUACAGACGGUAUUCUACUCAAGGAUCUGUUCAUGUAGGUAGGUACAGACUCAAGGACCUGUUCAUGUAGGUAAGUACAGACGUAUUCUACUCAAGGACCUGUUCAUGUAGGUAAGUACAGACGGUAUUCUGUACUGCGAUAAAAUUCUGGAAAUUGUAAACUGGGUCAUUGUAAAUGGUAUUUUUUGCCACUCCAUAGAAUGUUUUCUAUUUUCUGCACAGACAUUACAUGCCUGCUGCUUUAUUACGUGGUUUUAUUAAUUCAGUUGACACAUUAGAAAAUAUACCCCCAUCAAAUAUAUCUUUAUAUGAGCAGAUUGCUCAUAUUAUUUUUACGUGAUUAAAUAUAAAAAAUGUUUAUUUAUGCAGCAAUUUCUGCGCUGUAACCUUGAACUAACUAUCAUAAUGCCAGGAGUGUUAAAUCUCUCUUUUUCCUUUAUUUUUUCCUUGCUGCACUCCAGCAGUUAUAUUUGGCAAAACUUUCGUAUUGGACUGUCAUGCAUGUUUGCUGAUUUAUGGCCCCGCUCACAAGCUGUCAUAAACGCUGAUGUAUGAUACUUUACAAAAAGAGAAGUCACAUAGAGGUUGCAUUACAUUUCACACAUCAGUCUUAGUCUGCACCUAUACAUCUUUUUCAGUGAGCAACAUUUAGAACACCUGAACACAUCGUCUGGAGUCAAGGUACAUUGAAACAACUGAUUCCAGAAUAAACCCAUCAACCUUUGCAGCCCAACAUCCAGGUUUCUGUAACUGAUAUAUUGAAAAUUCUUUAUUUUAUAUAGAGUUGCUUGUGUGCUGCAGCAAAACACUAGACUAGGUCAGACUGGAAACGUUUAGCAAAGGGGGCAAACACAGCCAUAUUUCAGACUAAUAUAACAGCCUAAGGGAAAACUCCAAGUACCAUAACCACUAAAACAUAAUGUAGUGGUUAUGUUCCCAGAAAGGAUAGCAAAACGCAGGCAAAAAUAGAUGCCAAACUGUGACUAUAUCUGAAUUGGAGGAUUUUUAUUUUUACCUAAAUGUUUCUAUUCUGAUAUCAGUUCCCAACAUUUUGGAGUUAAAGGGACGCUGUAGUCACCAAAACAACUUUGGCAGUUUUGGUGUAUAGCUCAUGCACCUUCAGUCUUGCAGCUCAAUUAUUUGCCAUUUAGGAGUUAAAUCACUUUGUUUAUGCAGCCUUAGUCAUGCCUCCCUGCACAUGGCUUGCACAGCCGUUCUAAACACUUCCUGUAAAGAGCCAUGUAAUGUUUACACUUCCUUUAUUGCAAAUUCUGUUUAAUUUGGCAUUUCUUAUCUCCUGCUCUGUUAAUAGCUUGCUAGACCCUGCCUGGGUCUCAUAUAUGUAAUUAAAGUUCAAUUUACAGAGCAGGAGAUACAAUCUUUCAAAGUAAGUUACAUCUGCUUGAACAGAAACCACUUUUUUUUCAUGCAGACUGUGUAAGUCACAUCCAGGGGAGGCAUGAGCAAUGCACACAAACUGCUUCAUUAAGCUAAAGAUGUUUUGGUAACUAUAGUGUCCCUUUAAUGAAAAAAACACUCUGGUCUUUAAAUGCAAAGAGUGUGCGGAAUAACAUAGCAUUCCGUGGGCUCACGUGAGACAGCAUAACCCUGUUUGAUUGAUAGUCUGGAUGCUGUAGUUACUCCUCCAUUAUAGAUUUAAAGUAGCCCUGCAUAACUAUGUAUUCCCAGAGGUUACAACAAGAACAUGUAUCUUUCCGCCCAUGGCAACUACGGUUAUAUGUCAUUUAAUGGAAAACAUACAGCCCAUGUUGAUGUCAACCUUGCAUUGAUAACAAAGUUCUUGCAACGCGUUUUCUAAUGGCAAAGCAAAAGAAGGAUCUUUCUUCUCCGUGUAUUUCUUUAGAAUGGUACAGAUACGUAUAUAUUAAACCUAAAUAACACUUAUUUAGAUUCAGCAGCUGUACCCAAAUGUUGAGGGUUACUGGCAAUACACUAAUGGAGUUUCCCCCUCUUCAUUUAACAUUUACAUGUAAGUUAUGUUCAUACAAACGCAGCCAUUAGUUGACACUGGUGCAGAGAUGAAAUUCAGAUCUAAUCAGCUGAUUAUCAUAUAUGCCGGUAAAACAAUAAUUACCAUGUAUAAAUAAAUGUGCAGAUAAUUGAAAUGUAUGGAAGGUGUAUAUGGGAACCCCACAUGGCUUUCACAAAUCAAGAAUCAGUGGGAAUAGGCCGCAGCCACGAAGCAGCUCAUUUACAGGGUUACUCAUAAAAGUAAGAAUUGCUGGGAAUUCAAAGUUGAUUAAAAGUGGAUUUCAAAUUUGAAGCCAAAAUAGUCAAAUUCAAGAAAUUCUCCAAGUCAGCUUUUAAAAGCCCUGUGUAGUGGUUAAGAUGGUAGAUGUAUCCCUGUGCUGUGUCCCCCAUUUUACAAUGGCUUGCCCUCUUACCUGGUCCUACCAGGUGCUGGGUCUCCUCUGUAGGCAGGGUUAGGCAGACUAAACCUGCUGCUCCUUCAUUGGCCUUCAUCAUCUAACCGCCCUCAACCUAUCAAUGAGUGUCUGCACGUAACAAUAUGCACAGAACUGGCAUCAGCUACUCUGGAACUCUUGUUCUGGGGAGGGACUGAUGGCACCAAAUUAUGCUGCCAGAAUUGAGAUCAAAGUGGUUAUGGUGCUUUUAGUAACCCUUUCAGGCCUCAAUUUAAUAAGCUUUCUAAAUGAUUCAAUUCUGCUAGAAGAAAAUUCCAAAUGGUUUAUGUACAAAAAUUCCCCUAGACUUUAAUGGUGACUUCUGUAGAUCAAUAAUUUGGAAACAGAUAUAAAUCAUUUGGAAAGCUUAUUAAAUCGAGGCCUAUAAAUUGGAAACUCCAUUUGAAUUCCUGACUUUUCUUACUUUAGUAAAUAACCCUGUUAUUAGUCUUGUUAUCGGGUGAGAUAGCUCAGUGUUUAGGGCUGCAGGAAAUCUUUAGAUGGGGGAAAUGAAUGGUAUAAUAUAGUUCUUUCUCUGUUCCCUCCAUUCUAAUGUUUAUUUUGGUAAAUCUUGGUGCUUUUUGUGUCAUGUUUGUUCUUUUUCUGAAUAUUAAUACUUUGUCGAUCCAAUUCUAAACGAUGCUAUGAUUGACUGUAGAAUGUAAGUGCUUUAUGGGAAGAAUUAUAAAUGGAACACAAGCAAAUAAGACGCUAGGAUAAAAAUAUACCGAUGCAACAAUCGUUUCUGCUGGUUGGAGAGUAAGAGCAGAAUUCGCAUUCUGUAGGGUUUAUCAAAAUUAGAUGCAAAGUAUUGUUUACUCAACGGUCUUGUUCUGUUCAUGGAUAAUUAAUUAGUCCCUGUAAAUGGCACGGGCCUCGCAUCAUCAUAUUGUCAGAACAGAUCACAAAAUCUGGGCUAAAUAUUUAUAGCACAUGGAGGAACACUUUGUAUUAAUGAAAGUUCACUGAGCUCCAAAAACAAUCCAGAAAUAGUCACUGACACGGCUGGAUCAUUGAUGCAAGAGCCUGGUCAUCCAAUUUUCUUGAUUGUAGACCCAGGAUGGUUGGAGGCUUGGUACAGGGUGAAAACAUAAAAGGAUUGCUCGGUGUUAUGUGGAGUACUAAAUCAGUUUUAUAUGUUUAGAUUUACUGCCAAUUUCAGGCCAUACUGAAUAGAAGAAUAGGGGCUCUUUGCCAUUCUUUAUGUUCUUGGACCCAUUUUAGACAAUGAUUGUCCCAGAAGAAGAAUGGUCAAAGUCAUGUUUUAGUCAUGUAGGUUCUUGCCAGUAAGUCGAUCAGUAUGUGAUUUUAACUUUUACUCUGCAGAAACAAGGGAAUGCUUUUCAAUAAAAGAACGAUAAGACCGAAUGAGAACACUUUAAUAGUAGGAGUUGUGACUGAAACUGUGUCUUCAUCAGGGCUGAUCCAGAGCCUAAUGUUGGGUGUAUACAUUAUAUAAACACUCUCCAGCAAUUCAUAUUAUUGUCAUGGGGCUCGAUAUAAUAUAUAUACAUUGUUUAUGAGUGCCACAGUAAUAAGACUGAUUGACUGUUGGAAUUUAGGUAUAGUUUUUACAAUAUUUUGAGCAUGUGGUAUUAAUAAUGAUUCAUAGAAAAUGUAUUGUACAACACAUAAUCUUUGUAUACAGCACAUAUUUAAAUCCUUUAUGUAAAACAUAUAAUCUGUCUCUAGAGCAAUGUAUGACUGUGCCAUGUAUGUAAAAUAUAUAUGUGUAUAUUUGUCAGCGUUAUGUAUGUAAAGCAUGUGUAUAAUAUAUGUCUAUGCUGUGUAUAUAAAGUACAUAUAUGUCUUGGGUACUAUCUACAUCUUUUUUUACAUAUGUAAACACUGUGUACAUUACGUAUGUUAGGUUACUUUCACAGUUUGUAUAUGUAUGUAAAACAUGUGAAUGUUGGGUGUGUAGUAUGCCUGCUUGUUAUAAUGCAUAGAAAGUGUAAUGUGAAUUUAAAGUGUGGUGAAUUUGAUUCUUGUGGUAAGUUGUUUAACUGCUCAGACAGCAAACUUGCUUUUUAGCUGCAGUCGGAGGAGGCUGAUGGGGUUAAAUGAGAUUCCUCUCCGGUUCUAUAGGGCAGCAAGUCCGCAGGGGCAGUACCAGGAACUUGUGGCUCACUUGAGUCCAGAGAUCUAGUACACUAAGUGCUAUAGAGGAGGGGUGGAUUUGCAGCGUUUUAUUUAGAAAGGCAGGUUUGUUUGGAGACUAAAGAGCAAGAAGUUAAUUCAAAGAAAAGGCAGGUGUCUAAGGGUAAGCACUUGCCCUGGUGCUCGCCCCCCGAAUCGCCCCUUGUCUUAAUGCAAAGCUUUUCUGGGAACAUUUUAACUGAUUUCAUGACCUAUUUCCAGCCAUGUAUGUAAAUGAAUAUAUAAAUUAGAAAAUGAUUGACACAUAGACAUAUCUGAACACAUGCAUUGCAGACUGAGAUACUUUUACCUUUGUAAAGCUCUGUUAUGCACCAAAACGUUGGCGCUCCUAGAAAGAGGAACGUUAUUAGAUUAUGGUAGAAAAGAUGGACAGAUGGAUUUGGAUUUUAAAUAGAGACUGACACACCUAGAGAAGUACACUUGGCAAGUAUACAGCAUGGCUGAACGGGACCUAAAUUGGAACAUUCCUGACAAACUUUAACCAUCUGGGGUUUUGGUCGGUAGUUUGUGACUUUAAUGAUUUUCUAUUAGUGCUAUUGUUCUACUAUCAAUUGUCUUGUGUAGGGGGUUGGGAUUAAAUUAAAGUACUGUAAUAGAAAACAUCAACGAUCCUAAAUGAGAACCAAUACCUGAGGGCAUUGGAAAAUAGAUUGCCGUUUAUUUUAAUACAAUAUUUCUCUCCACUUCUUAAUUAUAUAGCGUAUUACUCUAUCUAGGGCACAUUGCUUGAGUACAAGAGAUGAUAGAGUAACUGAAAAUAACGAUAGGCAUUUAUUAUUGAGAUAUCAAUUUAUUAAUAAAGAGCAGAACAUUUCUCAGCACUGUGGGAAAUGGUUAUUAUUAUUGUUAUUAUUAUUAUACAUUAUUUGUGGAGCACAAACACAUUACUCAGAGCUGAAAGAGGGCACAGUUGGUACAAGUCACGAUACAACAAACAAGUACAGGAGGAGUUGAGGCUUUAUUCCAGUGGGAACUUACAAUCUAGAUUGACGGGGAGGUGAGAAACAGAAGUUCGGGACUGCAAAGGUGAGAAUGAUGUCAACACAGAGUGAUAUGAGGGCAUCUAGUGGGUAAGUACAAUAUGUUAGAUUGACUGUUGGGCUUCCCAAAACAAGGAUGUUUUCAGCGAGCCAUUAGAGGAAGGUAGAUUUGGGGAAAGUCUGACAGCGCAGGGAAGUGCGUUCCAGUCCAUUGGUGACGCAUGAAAGACGUCCUGCAGUCUAGCAUGGGAAGAGGUGAUAAUAGACGGUGCAAGGAGCAAGUCAUUGUUAGAUCUUACGGGGACGAUAGUAAAGGCUUUGUAGGUCAUGGUGAGAAUUUUGAAUUUCAGAAUUAAAUUAGUUGAGAAUUACAUCAUAUAUUUACCAAAUGUGCUCAGUUGAUCUAGAAAACAUUUGAGCCCAGGGCUAAUUUUAUGAACUUUUAUCAUGUUUAUAACAUUUUCUUCUAUCUAAAGAAAGCUGCUUUGUUCAAUAAUUCUAGUGCUUUAGGUAUGGAGUUCACUAGUUAAAACAAGGUUGGAUUAAGUCUGAACAGGGUGAUUUAUUGAAUGUACAUGAAUAUAUAGUAGGUUUUGGCACACUGUCACCAGAUAAUCUGCUCUUUGCAGCUGAACUUGGUAGGGCCAUUGAGUCAUUCUACUACUGAGAGUGAGCUGAUUUUUUUUUUUUUUUUUUUUACAAUUUCAGAAGCAAUUGACUUUUAAUGCAUCAAGGUUCCAUAGAACGCCAGGAAGCUCGAGAACAAGGCUGGGCUGAAUUUAACCCAUUUUGAGAAAAAAUAAACCAUAAAUAAAUGAUUAUAUUUAAAGGGGAACUGUCAUGGAAAAAAAAACUUUGUUCUAUUGUAGAGGAUAUUGUAGUUUAAUUUAAUUUUGUUUUUCCUGAUUCUGGUUAGUCCUUCUCUGUCCAAUGUGAGCUGCCGUGUUCCCUGACUAUCCUGCUUUGGUGCGGUCUAAUAUACCUGGUUUACAAGGGGGGAGGGGGCCCUGGCUUCUUCUUACUCAUAAGAUAAUUUUUUACCCUCUUCACUACUGAACACUUUUAUUUAAAUCAAGGAAUGCAUAGAUAGCAAAUAAACAGAUAGCAUGGAUUGUAUAUAACACAAUUUUUAUUUUUCAUUUAUAUAUUUAGCUUUAGAUUGCAUGCAGAUUCCUUUAACUUAAUAUUUCACAUGUUAUGUUAAUAUUUCAUGUCAGUAUAAAAAAGGAAAAAUGCAUUUUUCUCACAUUCAUACAGUAGGUGUGACAAAAAGACAUAAAUAAAAAAUGUCAAAUACCUUGCUUAUAAGUAAGGACCCUGAAGGCAUUACUAGCAGUACAGCUUACCGUACUUACUAAUUACUUUCCAACCCCCAAAAAGUCUUCAUUGAGCAUAAUGUCCACGUACAGUACAUACAGUUCAAUUAUAUAUUUCUAAAAUAAAGGUAUUUAAAACUGCUAUAGCAAUCUUUAUCAAUCUCUAGACAGCUAACAUAAUUCUGGCAGUGAAAUAGCAGAUUUCAUUUACUCUUCUACCUCCCUGACAUUAGGAAUGAAAUCACCCAAUGAAACUUAUUGUACUGUUUGAAAGCACAGAGACAAGCUUCCCUUCCAUCACCUUUACAGAUAUUCUAUCAGUGAGUAGUGACUUUUGGCAGAGAAAUGUGUUCCUUUGCUGACUUGUAAUAAUACUAAUAAAUAAGGGUCAGUGAGGCUUUACGGUCUAAAUUUCAUUUUGAAAAAUACAUGAAAAUAGAAAUUUUUCUGCUUGAUUUGGAGGAAUUUACAAAAUCCCAAUAGCCUUUCAACUAACAGAUUAUGGUCACUACAAUAGAGAUUAAAAUAUGAUACAACAUAUCAAAACAAAUGUUUAUGAUUGUUCUCCUGUUAGGUAGUGUUGCCAUAUAUUUGAUACAAGCAUUCCUUAAAACCAAGUCUAAUUCUGUUUAUUUGUGCCAUAAAUAACAUUUCCCCUACAUAGUAACAAACUAAACACACAAAACUUACACGAGAGACAAAACAAACAAACACACAAACACUGGUUACAUAUAUCAAUGGUGCCAAAUUUGUUCAAUUAUCAUUUAUUCACUGUAAAUAACAUCAGUUUGGUCACGUAUAUAGUGCAUUGUUAUUAGCUAAAUCAUUUUUAAGUCUCCUAAUUUUGAUUAAUGUUGCAACUGUUUAAAAAAAAAAAAAAAGCUUCUAAAAGGCUAUUAAUUCCAAAAUGAUGGCUGAGGUAGUUGGGAGUUGAAUCACAACAGCAGCUGGAAAGCCUUAGAAUGUUUGAACCUUUCAUUUGCCAAUACUGAGCUCCAUUUUCAGGCGGAAAGUCUUUACAUUUGCAUGUUUUGUUAAUUUAUGGUUUAACCUUGUAUAUAAAAUAAUAUUACUUUUACAAUCCUCUUUUUAUAUGUGAAUACGGUCCAUAGGAAAAUUAGUGGAGCACCGCAUAUUGAACUUCGCUCCCUCCAAUCUCAGUUUGAGUGACAGCUUUGAUAUCAUUGCACAGCAGGGGUCUUAUUACAUCGGUCCUUUAAAUUAUCCUCAAAUAAAACUGCUCUCACCGGCGUGCUCUCAGUACUGUGUUCUCUGUAUUGUUUAUGGAUGUAUUAACAUUGCUGAAUUAGGUACUCCAUAAAAAGGACAGGACAAAGAUUUUGCCAUCUUCUGCUCCUAUUUUUAGCCCGACGCGAUUAUUUUGCUCCACAAUGCGUCAAAGCAGCUAUAACCUGAAAUUCAGUGACGUGCAAAAAUUAUAAAAUGUUAUUGAUUUAUCUCUUACAUUAACAAAAUGCUGUAUCUGUGCCCAGAUCAAACAAAAAAAUAAGUACACAACUUGCCAGGAGGCAGGUUUUAACACUCGUUGGGGAUUAUGAAUUAAAUUGCAAUGCUGCCAAGCUGCAAUAGAGACAGUGCUAGCGUGCAAUAAAAAGAAAAUAAAUAAUGAUUUAAAAAAACAAUGAAGGACUAAACACACGGGUGACAGGUAUCACACUGCUGGAACAGCAAUUAAGUUGUUCUUUGUCAUCUCUAAAUUCUAUUCCAUUAGAUAUCUAUAUAAAUAUAUGACCUGAACUAAUUAUAUAUAGUAUAUGUGAUCUCACCUUCCUUCAUACAAUGUCACAUUUACCAACUUCCAGGAUGGACAAAAAACAGCAUAGUCCUUUGGCCCAAAUUGGAGGUGUCAGUGCACAAUACAUGCUUGGUCGAGCUGACUUGCCGGAUGGUAGUCACGGAUUAACUAAUAACACAAAGGGUGAACUGCGGUCAGUAAAUAAUACAAUGUAAAACAAGUUUAAACAUGAGCAGAGAUUAUUUCAACUCCUGAUCUAGUGGUAUAACUAAAGCUGGUCAAGCCACACCAGGGCCCAGAGUUGCAGAGGGAGCUUUGGAGUAAAGGGUCUUAAAUGGACACUUCAGGUGCCUUCAGGUGCCAUAUAGUCUCAUUAUAUCGAGACUAUGCUAGGUAUUGUGCGUGAGGCAGAUAGGGAGAGAGUGCCUGACAUGGUGCCAAGCCCCCUACAUUAUAUUAACACAGCACCCUCCAUGGUGCAGAGCCCUCUACACUAUAAUAACGCUGCACCCACCGUGGUGCAGAGCCCCCUACACUAUACUAAUGUAUCACCCACCAUGGUGCAGAGCCCCCUACACUAUAAUAAUUCAUUGAACACUAUACUAAUGUAGCACCCACCAUGGUGCAGAGCCCCCUACACUAUAAUAAAGCAUUGUACACUAUACUAAUGUAGCACCCACCAUGGUGCCAAGCCCCCUACAUUAUAAUAACGCUGCACCCACCAUGGUGCAGAGCCCCCUAGACUAUAAUAACGCAGCACCCACCAUGGUGUAUAGCCCCCUACACUAUAAUAACACAGCACUAACCGUGGUGCAGCGCCCCCUACACUAGAAAAAUGCAGCACCCACCAUGGUGCGGAGCCCCCUACAUUAUAAUAAUGCAGCAUCCACCAUGGUGCAGAACACCCUACACUAUAAUAACACAGCACCCAAAAUGGUGCAGAGACCCUACACUAUAAUAACGCAGCAGUGCCCCCUACACUAUAAUAACGCAGCACCCACAAUGGUGCAGAGCCCCCUACACUAGAAUAAUGUGUCACCCACCAUGAUGCAGAGCCCCCUACACUAGAAUAACAAAGUACCCACCAUGGUGCCCCAUACACUAUAAUAAUGCAGCACCCACAAUGGUGCAGAGCCCCCUACACUAGAAUAACAAUGUACCCACCAUGGUGCAAUGCCCCCUACACUAUAAUAAUGUAGCACCCACCAUGGUGCAGUGCCCCCUACACUAUAAAAACGCAACACCCACCAUGGUGCGGAGCCCCCUACAUUAUAAUAAUGCAUCACCCACCAUGGUGCAGUGCCCCUACACUAUAAUAACACAGCACCCACUAUGGUGCAGAGCCCCCUACACUAUAAUAAUGUAGCACCCACCAUGGUCAGCAAAGACUUUUGCAGAGCGAUUUAAUGAUGUGCUCAUUCACUGAUUCCAAAUCAGGACUGUAGGCCCAAAUCUGGGACUGUUGGGUAGUAUACAAACAAGAAGCAGGACUGUAUGCAGUGUGGUAGAGAAGUCCAGCAUACAUUCACGCAAACCCUCCAUUAAUGUGUAUUUACUCCAUUAUAUUAUAAUAUAGAUAAACAUUUCAGAGAUAAAAAGGACUACAAUAGUAUUGUAUGCUGACGAUGCAAAGUACUGAACCUCUAAAAUAUCCGUGAGUAUUUACAAUAUAAUUAACUAAAUCUAGAGUAGCUGUGGACAGGCUCUCACAAGUAUUUUCUGAAAUUAAAGAAUCAGAAAAUCAGGGAAAAUCAGAAUGUGUUUGUUCCAGGAUUCUGAAUGAGUGUCAGUCCAGGCUGUGCCAAGAAAGACUGUGCCAGGCGCUGUCUGAACUGCUAUAACCCACAUCCCUCCAUUGUGCCCCCAGUUAGUCAGACCUCUCAGGUGACUCACUGACUUUUGACUCCUGCAGCUGGAAGCAUCAAAUUGGGUUUUAAGAAGCCUCAGCUAUAUUUUCCUGUAGUUCAACUGCUGCCCUCCCAUGUACCUUAAAGCUGCUCUGAGUAAUUUCUCAGGGAGCUUCUGAAACGUGAUUAUGUCUCCUGCUUAUACAAAGUAUUUAAUGAGUCAUUGAAUAAGACUCUCCUCCUAGCCUCACAUGGAACAGAACCCAUUGAUAGGUUAAAUAUUGCUCCCUCUGUAGCCGUGGUGUUGUCUGAGUUGUAAUGACGCGGGACACAUUAACCAGUUUAAAUAUUCUGCAGAAAUAAGCCAUUCAGGAACACAGUAUACUGUGAAACUCUGCCCUUGUUUACAACUUAUGACACACCCUAGCAAGUCAUCAGUCAUAGAAGGGUUAAUCAGAUGAUCACAUUUUAAAAAAAGACUAAUAUAAAGUGCGCUGUGACUAAGAUUGUGCUCACAACAUUUUUGUGUAUUGCAAUCAAGCCCAGCAAAUAAAACAAUUAAACAAACGUGUGUGUGAUAAAAUUCAAAAAAGCAAUUCCUUGUGCAAAAAAAAUGGAAUAGUUGUGCAUCCCCUUGAGAAAGACAUUAGGGGGGGGGAAAUUGGAUUUGUUGCCACCACUUGCUUUGUCCAUUAAGAAGGUAACAUUUUGGAUAAAUUAGUUCAAGGAAACUAUAAUUACCAGAACAACUACAGUAUGUCCCUGCAGGCACUGAAAAAGUGAAAAGGCAGUGUUUACAUUGCUGCUUAGCAGCACCUCUAGUGGUAGUCACUCAGAUGGCCUCUAGAGGUGCUUACUGGGUCAACGCUGCACACUGUGCAGCAUUGAUGUUCAGCAUGGAGACGCUGAAUGUUCCCCAUAGAGAUGCAUUGAUUUAGUACAUCUCUGUGAGUAGAUGCUGAUUGGCUCAGCGCAACGUUUUGACGCACAUGCACAUUAACUACAGGAAAGAAUUGGAUUGGCUGAGAUUUUCAGUUCUGAUAAUCUCAGCCAUGAAGGCAGAGUGGUGGCAGAGCUGCACUUGAAUAAAGAUAAGUUUAAAGCCUUUUUAAGGGGGGCAAGAGGGGUGCCAGUCACCUAAACUAUGUUUUUAACAUCAGAGGGUCAGGAAUACACAUUUAUAGUGUUCAUUUAACUUAUUACUGUAAGUAUAUUCAUGUAAUCAUAAAUUGUAGUUAGUUUUUCACACAUGGUGUCUGUUUCUAGGCUUUAUUUUUGUUAUAAUAAACCAUGACACAAUGUAACUUGCCAUGUGUUAUUGUUAAUCAGAGGUCGUAUUUACCUAAUUUUAAGACUUGCUAAGGAACAGAUAAAUGUUAUGUCCUGAUAUGUAAAACCAUAGAAUUCAAGGAGGGUGUACUUUCUUUUUCCCAUGAAUGUAUAUUAAUAUUUACGCACUCUUUGUACUCUCUUUUUGAAUUAUUGGAUUAAAUAAAGAUAUACUUUUUAUGAAUAUUUGGUGUGUAGUGGGAUUUCUCUUUUUCUAUACUGCUUCUAGGGCACCAGAGAAAAACAGCACAAUAUUAAAUGUACCAGCUGCUGCUCAGGGUUACUCCAGGGCAAUCAUCAUUUCACCAGCGCCCUGCUCAUGGCUAGUUCUGAUUGGCACUUCAUAACUCCAUCAUUACACCAGCGCCCUGCUCAUGGCUAGUCCUAACAGGCACUUCAUAACUCCAUCAUUUCACCAGCGCUCUGCUCAUGGCUAGUCCUAACUGGCACUUCAUAACUCCAUCAUUUCACCAGCGCCCUGCUCAUGGCUAGUCCUGAUUGCCACUUCAUAGCUCCAUCAUUACACCAGCGCCCUGCUCAUGGCUAGUCCUGACUAGCACUUCAUAACUCCAUCAUUUCACCAGCGCCCUGCUCAUGGCUAGUCCUUACUGGCACUUCAUAACUCCAUCAUUACACCAGCGCCCUGCUCAUGGCUAGUCCUGAUUGCCACUUCAUAACUCCAUCAUUACACCAGCGCCCUGCUCAUGGCUAGACCUGAUUGCCACUUCAUAACUCCUUCAUUACACCAGCGCCCUGCUCAUGGCUAGUCCUAACAGGCACUUCAUAACUCCAUCAUUUCUCCAGCACCCUGCUCAUUGCUAGUCCUGAUUGGCACUUCAUAACUCCAUCAUUACACCAGCGCCCUGCUCAUGGCUAGUCCUAAUUGGCACUUCAUAACUCCAUCAUUUCACCAGCGCCCUGCUCAUGGCUAGUCGUAACUGGCACUUCAUAACUCCAUCAUUACACCAGCGCCCUGCUCAUGGCUAGUCCUAAUUGGCACGUCAUAACUCCAUCAUUUCACCAGCGCCCUGCUCAUGGCUAGUCGUAACUGGCACUUCAUAACUCCAUCAUUACACCAGCGCCCUGCUCAUGGCUAGUCCUAAUUGGCACGUCAUAACUCCAUCAUUUCACCAGCGCCCUGCUCAUGGCUAGUCGUAACUGGCACUUCAUAACUCCAUCAUUACACCAGCGCCCUGCUCAUGGCUAGUCCUAAUUGGCACGUCAUAACUCCAUCAUUUCACCAGCGCCCUGCUCAUGGCUAGUCCGAAUUGGCCAUCAUUUUACCCAUGAGCAUCGAUAGUGAUACGAACUGUGUAACUAGUAUGUCUCCAUUCCUUCCCCACUUCUUUUCCUUUUUUAUGUCUCAUAUUUCCUGUCACGUGCACGCAUUAUGCCUCCCAUCUUUACAGCUUUUAGUGGGACAGUCACAAUUUUGUGGUUCUCUCCCGCUGUUUAGCUUUAGUUGUCCCCAGGUAGCACAGCGUGAGCGCACACUAGCACUGUGUAGCAGGCACUAGGACAAUACAGGGAGUGCUUCAGCAGGUCCACCCCUUUUGUGUGCUGGCUUUUCACAGUGAGAGCACGCCAGCGUCCAUAGGAAAGCAUUGUAAAUGCUUUCCUAUGCGACCAGCUGAAUGCGCGCGCAGCUCUUGCCGCGCGUGCGCAUUCAGCCAACGGGGCGGAACUGAGGAGGAUCGGAGGAGGAGAGCUCUCCGCCCAGCGCUGGAAAAAGGUACGUUUAAACCCCUUUCCCCCUUCCAGAGCCGGGCGGGAGGGGGACCCUGAGGGUGGGGGCACCCUCAGGGCACUAUAGUGCCAGGAAAACGAGUAUGUUUUCCUGGCACUAUAGUGGUCCUUUAAGUAAUUCAGUCUUUGCUUCCAUCAGUCUGUAGAGCUGUCAAUGUGUGUCUAUAUGUGUGUGUGUGUGUGUGUUCAGUCUGUGUCUAUCACACUGUAUGUGUGUCAAUAUGGGUGUGCCUACUAAUAGCUAUAUCGCAGACUCUCUCCCUUAUCAUUAGUAUCCAGUUGCAGCUACAAUGCAUUCUCCUUGUAAUUAUCCCGGACUGCAACAUGCUGCGGGAAGGACUGGGACUUCAUACAUGAAUUAUAGAGGGUUUAUCAUUUCUCUAUCUCUUAUAUACAGUUUUUUUUCACUUCACUCCACGUAACGGUUUUUACAUUUCUUUAUCACAAGACUUGUAUCGGCACAUGAAAAGCUUGCAGUGUCCAUGAUGCAGUUUGUCCCGCAGUUUGCUCAGCACCAUGAUAGUCUGAGAAAAAUUAUCCAAGCCUCGGGGUCUUUUGUAAAACAUGUGAAUGGGUUCUGUGAAUGCGCUUCAUUUAUUUAUUUUUAUUACUGACCUCGGGUUAUUCAGGAAUGUAUUAACUUUUAACCAUUUGUAUGUCUCAGCUGUUUCAUCUUCCAAGGGGUUUUGAGAUGCCCACAUUAUAUUUUUGAUAAAUAACUGUUUGAAGUCGAAAGCUGUACUAGAGAUGUUUGGACUUGGUGUUUUAAGUAUUUUAAAAUGUGAAUAUUUUAUGUCAUUAUUGAUUAUUAAAUAUUUUUCAUGUAUUGUUAUACCAGUAUCCACAAUUUGUUAACCAUAUUACCAGUAUUCUACAAAGAAAAAAAGACUCACUCUGGAUGAGAACCUAUAACUAUGCACUGAUCAGCUACAAUAUUAAAUCCACCAUGUACAUCCCCUUCCUGCUUUUAAAACAGCUCUGAUGAGUUGAAGCAUGGACUCCACAAGACCUUGGAACAUGUCCUGUGGUAUCUGGCACCAAGACUUUAGCAGCAGAUCCUUUAAGUCCUGCAAGUUGCGAGGUGGGGCCUCCCUGGAUUAUAUUUGUUUUUCCAGCACAUCCCAUAGAUGCUAAAUUUGAUUGAGAUCAAAACUAGAGUCCCCAGCAGCCCAUCCUCUCUGUGCUGAUUGGACUGAUAGGGAAGCAUUAGCCUGAGCAGUGACGGGUGGCUGUGAUUGGCUGAAAGUUUCAGAUGACCCCUUUCUGCCUAUCACAGAGUCCAUUGCUGGUAUGAAUCUGUAUGGCUAAAAGGAAGUGUGUAAUCUCUGACUUAGGUACAGAUCCAAUGAGGGCUGGGUUGUGGCAUGCCAGGAAAUCUUGUACACUUUGAAACUGCUUGAAAAUAGUUUAAUCCAAGCUAUGGGAAUAAAAAAUACAUGGCAUAGUGCAAUAUUGUCUGUGGUAAAAUGGGUAUAUGAGUAAGUGCCAAAUGUUCACUCACACUUUAACAUCCCAAGAAAUGCCUUCAAAAGUGUGCUUGGUGUGUCUUCUUGCUUCAAUGUUUGAUGAAUAUAAAUCUCAUAAAAAAACGAAAAUAAAAAAAGAAUGAAAUGACUAUAUAAAGGGUAAAAAAAAGUAUUUAUUACUUACAUAAUGUCUUUUUAACUAAUUUGUCACUAAUUUGUCACUCCCCUUUUGUACACUCCCCACUCAUACUCCCAUUUACCCUUUAUUCAUACAGUCAUUUCAUUCUUUUUUUUACUUUUGUUUUUUAUGAGAUUUAUAUUCAUCAAACAUUGAAGCAAGAAGACACACCAAGCACACUUUUGAAGGCAUUUCUUGGGAUGUUAAAGUGUGAGUGAACAUUUGGCACUUACUCAUAUACCCAUUUUACCACAGACAAUAUUGCACUAUGCCAUGUAUUUUUUAUUCCCAUAGCUUGGAAUAGCCCUAUACCAUAUACUUACUAAAUUGAAGAUAGGAGGAAAUCCUCGGGCAUAUCCUAUAUUGCUAAGGGAAGUUACUCUUUAUUUGUUUAUUCCACCAUAAUCACUUUAAAUUGAAAUUUCUAUAUCACUGUAUGUGGAUUUUAGAAUCACUGUUGUAAAUUCACAAGUGUGUGAAAAAUUCCUUAUAUACUUCUGAAAAUAGUUUAACACUGAAGUGAGGGACAGUGCCAUGGAUCUCCAUGUACUUUAGCAAAUUCAGUAAAAUGAAAUGGUUGUAAUAACUACAGUUUCCCGUUAAUGAUGUACAGCCAAUGUUAGCACGAUUACAAUUAGUUUAAUAAUAACAAAAAAAAAAUCAAACAACCCCCCCACCCACCACAAAUGAGGUAAUACCAUUAAUACCCUUUUUAUUUUUUUUAAUUUUUUUAUUAUUUAUUUUUUUUACCUUUUUUGGUUUUCCAGCUUUCAACUAAAUGACCUGGGUGCAAAUAGCUUCAUUCAUAAGCUACAUUGUGACUUGGUUUUAAAUUAUAUGGGGUGUGCUAGAUUUUGUGUAAUGCCCAGGCUUUCUACUCGUCCUUAGACUUAGUAUCCCUUUAACAAUAUAGAACCCAUUAAAGAAAAAAGGAAAAAAAAACUUAUUAGAACAUGUGUUAUUUCAACUGUGUCAAGUAUUGAAAUGUGUAUUUUUAUAUAUUACAGACAAAACGUCCUUGUAAGAUUUAGUAUGCUUAUUGAGAAAUCUUAACAUUAUCUCUUUGUGGAAGACAUGAAUACAAUAAUAAUCUUGGUACUUAAUAGUCCUUUUUCUUAUUUAAAUUCAUCCAGGGGAAAACGGCUUACUGGUUUAUAAGCGUGUUUGUAAUGCGCCAUGUAGAAGAAACACAAAAGCAUAUGUUGUUAUUUGCACCGACCUUGCCAUGCGUUCAGAGACAGAUUAAACAUAAAUCACAAUGGCAUAUGUUUUUUACUACGUGCAAAUAAACUUUGCUACAUCAAGGCACGUUAAUCCAUUUCCCUUUCUUUAAUCCUUAAUGCAGAAGGAAAAAAAAUCAAGGUUUCUGUUACUGCAGAUACAAGAUUCCUUCCACAGCAGAGAUUAUUGAUACUGUAUAAAUUUAUAGAUGUGCUUGCUGUUAUAACUUGGGAACUCACCUGUUUAACCUUAGGAAACCUCACUUCUAAAUACUACUUCUAUGAGGAUGGAGACCUUGUAGCUGAACGAGACUAAUUCACAUUCCACAUCCACAUUUUCUGAGUCCCAUCCACUCCCCAUCCCAUGCCCUGGAAUUGAAGGAAUAGGAGGGAAGAUAUGCAGGGCAAAUUAGAGGUGGAAAUACCUGUAAAAUGGACAGGAUCUGCCUUAAAUUGACUUUUCCAAAAAGUGUUCAGUGCUGAUCACGGAGUGGGUGGAGGAUAAGUGAUGUUUCCUCCAACAGAAGAAGACAAGCUUGUCCCAGAAGCCUUACAAUAAGUGUUCAAACCUAGAACCUCUGAACCAAACCUGGUCACUUCCAAGGUAGGUCCAGGUGGUGCUUUAUAAAUAAUUACAGCUUAAAAAGGGGCAUUGGUGCUACAAGGCUUUGACUGCAGUAGCAAAAGACCAUUUUUGAGUAGUUACGGAAAACUGGCACUCCCCAUCAUCGAAAGCCAAGUAUCCCUGCUGCUGCUGCUGACUCUCUAUUGUAGAAUUGUACUCAGUAGAGAGUCAUAUAUGAGUAUGGGUACUCCAGAGACAUCUCCCAUCUGUCUAGGUCCACUAGUAGAAUGAAAUCACUGAUGUAUGGGAUAGAAUUAUAUAGAAUUAUAUAUUGUCACUGAUUUUAGUCUAUUUGAUUAUUACAGAGAUUUGAUCUUGAGUGGCAUGUGUUUAAGGGUCGCACACAGUUUGGAUGAUGCAAUCAGUCUGCUCUCACAGCCAGUUGUAGGAAAUUAAAAAAAAGAACCAAUUUAAAGUUUAAGAAGGUUAUUUACUAAAGUGAGAAUUGUCUGAAAUUCUAAAUAAAUUCAAAGUGAAUUUCAAAUUUAAGGAUGAAGUUGCAGAAUAAAAAGCAUAGCUGACUGGGAAAAUUUUCUAGUUUGGUUAUUUUGGCCUUAUAUUUGAAAUUUACUUUGAUUUCAUGGUAAAUCUCACUUCAGUGAAUAACUCUUUCUAAAUAAUAGAGGCAAGUUUGGCAGGUAUGCAAACAUUGUAUUCAUCCCUUAGCUAUUUGGUUUUACAGAGAAUUUACACACAAUUAAAAAAUAUACUAUUGUAAUUAGAGAUAACUAUAUUAGAAAAUGUUCAAAUGCAAUGUAUCUAUGGGGAAGAGAGUUUAAAGGACCACUCUAGGCACCCAGACCACUUCAGCUUAAUGAAGUGGUCUUGGUGCCAGGUCCUUCUAGGGUUAACCCAUUUUUUUUAUAAACAUAGCAGUUUCAGAGAAACUGCUAUGUUUAUUAAUGGGUUAAGCCUUCCCCCAAAGCCUCUAGUGGCUGUCUCAUUGACAGCCACUAGAGGCGCUUGCAUGCUUCUCACUGUGAUUUUCACAGUGAGAGCACGCAAGCGUCCAUAGGAAAGCGUCCGGAGGAGGAGAGAAGGAGGAGAGCUCUCCGCCCAGCACUGGAAAAAGGUAAGUUUUUACCCCUUUCCCCCUUCCAGAGCCGGGCGGGAGGAGGACCCUGAGGGUGGGGGCACCCUCAGGGCACUAUAGUGCCAGGAAAACGAGUAUGUUUUCCUGGCACUAUAGUGGUCCUUUAACUUUAAAGGUACACUAUAGUCACCAAACAAGUUUAGCUUAAUGAAGCAGUUAAAUCACUGGGUUUAUGCAGCCAUUGUCACAGCUCCCUGCAUGUGACUUACACAGCCUUCCUAAACACUUACUGUAAAGAGUCAUCUAAUGUUUAAGCAUCCUUUAUUGCCCAGUCUGUUUAAUUUAGAAUUUCUUAUCUCCAGCUCUGUUAAUAGCCUGCUAGACCUUGCAGUAGCCUCCUGUGUGUGAUUAACGUUUUACAGAGUAGGAGAUAAAAACUUCUAAAGAAACCUAACAUCUGAUAAAACCAUUUUAUUUUUAUGCACACACAGGGGAGGUGUAGCUGGGGCUGCAUAGACAGAAACAAAAGUGCCCCUACACUAAUUUUAACAAUAGAGACAAACAACUACUAAAAUGAUAUUUUAUAGAUAGUAGCUUAUAAAUUAAUGUGGAGCCCCUUCAGUGUCUUACCAGAGGCAAUGACGAUGUCCCUCGUCGCUGCUUCUUCCUCCGCCCACGCUCCUCCCCGUCACCACGUCAGCCGGCGGGGUAUACUAAUCCCGCCCGCCGGCGGGGGAGACCUAAUGCGCAAUGCCACGCGGCAAUGCCACGCAGCGCAUUGGAUCCUCUCCAUAGGAAAACAUUGCAAAUGCUUUUCAAUGCUUUCCUAUGGGGAUUUUAGUGACGCUGGAGGUCCUCACACAGCGUGAGGACGUCCAGCGACGCUAUAGCACAGAAAACCUGUCUAUAGACCAGGAAGUGUCCUCUAGUGGCUGUCUAGUAGACAGCUACUAGAGGAGGAGUUAACCCUGCAAGGUAAUUAUUGCAGUUUAAGAAAACUGCAAUAAUUACACUUGCAGGGUUAAGGGUAGUGGGAGUUGGCACCCAGACCACUCCAAUGGGCAGAAGGGGUAUGGGUGCCUGGAGUGUCCCUUUAAUCUUUAUUUCCUCUCUAAAUAAUUGGCUGUAUCAUUCUAUAGGCACAUCUAAUUAAACAUUAAUAUAAAACAUAUGAAUUUAGCAGAUACAAUAUUGGAGAGGCACUUCCUGAUUUGGACAGAAAAUCUAAUAAAGACUCCAUAGAAGUACCCCGUCAGCCUCUUGUUCUGUGAUCUCUCACUACGGGGAUUCCUAUGAGUUACAACAGAUACAGCAUGAUUCCGAGCAAGUUCUCAAGCUCUGCUUGAUACAAAAAACAGGUCUCAUCUGCUUAAUUAUAGCUGCAAGAAAUAUGAGGGAAAAAAGUGUAUAUAACGAACAGGACCAUUUAUUUAUCAAGGGGAAAUGGUAAUAGGCACCAAUAACAUAUAAUGUUCGCUCAGGUAAUCAAUGAAUAAGAAAUGCUGUACUCGUUAUGAAGUAGCUGUUGGUUACAGAAUCCAUUACUCAUGUUGGGAAUAAUUUCACAGGAAUAUUGCACUGAUUCAAGGCAGGGACCCAGGGGCCUUACUCAGCAAUUACAAGUUCAACUCUGCGUUUACAAUUCUAAGUAAUAGAAAGGAUGUUAAGCAAACUGGAAUAUAUGAUGCAGUGCUGUACUCCAGUACACCUCCCAAGUGUACCUAUUUAAGGGGGGCAGUCCCUAUUUAGGCCCAAAUCCUUCUGUCCCUCUUUUCUCUCCUAAUGUCCCUCUUUUCUAGGAGCUCCAUAUUGUUGGUAUGUCUGGGUGUAUAACAGAGCUCCACAGCAAUAAUACUCCCAGUAAUGUGUCUGAGUGUAUAACAGAGCUCCACAGCAAUAAUACUCCCAGUAAUGUGUCUGAGUGUAUAACAGAGCUCCACAGCAAUAAUACUCCCAGUAAUGUGUCUGAGUGUAUAACAGAGCUCCACAGCAAUAAUACUCCCAGUAAUGUGUCUGAGUGUAUAACAGAGCUCCACAGCAAUAAUACUCCCAGUAAUGUGUCUGAGUGUAUAACAGAGCUCCACAGCAAUAAUACUUCCCAGUAAUGUGUCUGAGUGUAUAACAGAGCUCCACAGCAAUAAUACUCCCAGUAAUGUGUCUGAGUGUAUAACAGAGCUCCACAGCAAUAAUACUCCCAGUAAUGUGUCUGAGUGUAUAACAGAGCUCCACAGCAAUAAUACUCCCAGUAAUGUGUCUGAGUGUAUAACAGAGCUCCACAGCAAUAAUACUCCCAGUAAUGUGUCUGAGUGUAUAAUAGAGCUCCACAGCAAUAAUACUCCCAGUAAUGUGUCUGAGUGUAUAACAGAGCUCCACAGCAAUAAUAUUCCCAGUAAUGUGUCUGAGUGUAUAACAGAGCUCCACAGCAAUAAUACUCCCAGUAAUGUGUCUGAGUGUAUAACAGAGCUCCACAGCAAUAAUACUCCCAGUAAUGUGUCUGAGUGUAUAACAGAGCUCCACAGCAAUAAUACUCCCAAUAAUGUGUCUGAGUGUAUAACAGAGCUCCACAGCAAUAAUACUCCCAGUAAUGUGUCUGAGUGUAUAACUGAGCUCCACAGCAAUAAUACUCCCAGUAAUGUGUCUGAGUGUAUAACAGCUCCACAGUAAUAAUACUCCCAGUAAUGUGUCUGAGUGUAUCACAGAGCUCCACAGCAAUAAUUCUCCCAGUAAUGUGUCUGAGUGUAUAACAGCUCCACAGUAAUAAUACUCCCAGUAAUGUGUCUGAGUGUAUCACAGAGCUCCACAGUAAUAAUACUCCCAGUAAUGUGUCUGAGUGUAUAACAGAGCUCCACAGCAAUAAUAGUCCCAAUAAUGUGUCUGAGUGUAUAACAGAGCCCCACAGCAAUAAUACUCCCAGUAAUGUGUCUGAGUGUAUAACAGAGCUCCACAGUAAUAAUACUCCCAGUAAUGUGACUGAGUGUAUAACAGAGCUCCACAGCAAUAAUAGUCCCAAUAAUGUGUCUGAGUGUAUAACAGAGCUCCACAGUAAUAAUACUCCCAGUAAUGUGACUGAGUGUAUAACAGAGCUCCCUAGCAAUAAUACUCCCUGUAAUGUGUCUGCGUGUAUAACAGAGCUCCGCAGCAAUAAUACUCCCAGUAAUGUGUCUGAGUGUAUAACAGAGCUCCACAGCAAUAAUACUCCCAGUAAUGUGUCUGAGUGUAUAACAGAGCUCCCUAGCAAUAAUACUCCCUGUAAUGUGUCUGAGUGUAUAACAGAGCUCCGCAGCAAUAAUACUCCCUGUAAUGUGUAUUUACAUUACAAUAAAUGUGUUUAGAAUGCAGUCUGUGUAAAUAAUUUACAUUUGUUCUAAUUUACAUUUAGAAAUUAUUAGUAAAUCAUAUACAUUUCUCAGAACAGCCCAACCCCUGGCCACACCCACAUUCACACCCCUAAAAUUAAAGCGUCCAUGUUUGUCCAUUCGAAAUGUUGGGAGGUAUGCUCUAGGAUUGGGCAAAACGUAGAUCAUUCACCAGCUAAUGCAAAUACAGCUCCCAUGAUGCUUUGCUAGCCUUAUGGUUCAAAAAACAUCAUAGGUGUUGAACUCCUCUUUACCAAAUGUAUCAAGGGAAGGACAUGAUCCUGGACCAUCUAUCCUACAGAAUACAAGCUUUACCACAAAGAACUUUGUUACAUUCCCCCAUAGCACAACUCUUCACCAAUUAGAUUGAUGCCUUGACAAAUGAAGUGAUUUGCAAAGUCACGUUACCUGUUGGGAAAUAUUUUGUCUCAAUUCACUGUUUUCCUGUAAUAUUAAAUGGUUGAGGUUGUUAUAAUUUGCACAGACAGUAGGAUGAAAAGUUGAGAGUUGGCUGGUCUUGUCCCGAUUUUGAACAUUUUUGUAACCAAAGAAUACUCAAAGUUCUUCGUUUUAGCAAUUGCUCAUCAUACAAAAGCAACAUAAUACGUUCUUUCACUCUUUACUAUACCCUGAAGACGAUAACAUCACGUGUAUCUCACAAGAUUAUUGAUCAUCAUUUAUCUCUAAGGAAAAAUAAAAAAUGAUUAAAAUUGGAGUUGUUUAGUUGUGCUUCUUUUUAUUGCGAAGAAAAAUGUCAAGGGCGUUUUGUGAGAUAAUCAAGUUGCUAAGUAGGUGAAACUAGCAGAACCUAACAGCCAAUUCUGCAUCUUUUCAGAAAUAUUUUUUAAAAGUCAAAUGUUACUUAGACCUCGAUUUAAUUUUUUUAAACACUUUUUAAAAUAAUUUAAUAUUAUGAAAAUAUUUUACAUGUGUGAUAUUUACAUAUUUAUUUGAUAUUUUUUAAUACAAUAUAGAUUUUUAUGAUUUUUAGUAUGCUAUAAAAAAAUAAUUUGAAAAGUGUAUCCAAAAAUAUCAAAUCAUUUGAAAAGCUUAUACAACAAUAUUAAAUUGAGGUCUUAAUAUGUGAUACGUCUGUCAUUGUAAAAGAUGCUUUAGCAUUACAUAACCAGCAAUAAUUUUAAUAACUUGCAAUAAUUACCUUUAUGGGUGUACCACUAGAGGGACGUCUGGGUCGCUAGGCGACUUUUUGGCGCCUAACUGACGCUGGAUGUCCUCACACAAUGCAUGAGGACAUCCAGCGUCACCCAAAACACCAUAAGAGAGAAUUGUAUAAUGCUUUCCUAUGGGGAAAUACUAAUGUGAGUGCAGCCAUUGCGGAGAUGGAGCCUGAGCCAGCGCAGAUGGACAUCAGUGCUGGACUCAGGUAAGUGACAGUAGGGUUUUUUAACCCCUUCUGCAUGAUGGGUGAGGGUAGGAGGGGAGGUGAGAAGUUCACAUAGGGGGCACUAUAGGGAGCCAUAGUGCCACUAUAGUUUUCCUUUAAAUUUCCACAUUCUCUCCCUGAUAAUUUGUUAGGACACCAUAGUGUCUCAGGUUUACAAGCUUGUCUCAUCUCAUCCUUUCAAAGUUGAUGAAAUGGGCAUCAUUAAUUUGGGAAAUAAUAACUCAGAGACUCUAGAAAAGUUAAAUGUACUUUCCUUGGUUAAAAACUUUGACAUUAUUAUCAGGGACGGAUUAACUCUCUGUGCUGCCCCAAGGCCAGUUUUCACAAUGCACCCCUGUCCCCCUUUAUGGAUACACAUGAAGGAACUGAAACAUGGAAGGGAAACAAAAUCCUGUAGGCCUUUUUGUAAUCACUUGAACAGUUUAAUAAAAGUGUGAUGUGUAUGAGUGUAUCACAGAGCUCCCCAGCACUAACACUCACACAGGGUCAUUAACUAAAGUAAGAAUUUGAGGUAAAAAUAGUCGAUCUGAGUAAAAAUCUCUGUCAGCUCUGCUUCUGGUUCAACUAAUUUGGCCUUAAAUUUUAAAUUCAAUAUGAAGUUUCAGUAAUGUUCAGUAUGUUGGUGAGUGUAUCAAAGAGCUCCACAGGCAUUUUAGCCGUUAUGUGAGGAGCUCUUCAGCAAAACAGCUAACAAUAAUGUACAGCAGGGGUAGUCAACCUUGUCCCUACCGCCCACUAGUGGGUGAUUUGGGAUUUAAGGUGGGAGGUGGUGGAUUCUGUGGAAGAUGCCCACUGGGCCUUGAUGGCUGUGGGCCAAGGGUGGCAGGAAAGAUGCAGAGCCAGACUUGCUGUAAGCCCUCUCGGACUGGUGAGGAGAUCAAUGAUCUCUCUCACUAGCCCGCCGGCACUUCAUUCCAGCAGAGGGAUGGAAAGACCUGGGAGGCUCUGUGUUCCUCCCACAAGCAGGCUGGUCGGAGUAUUGCUGCGCGUUACCAUGGCAAUGCUCUGGUACAGUGCUGUGCUCACAGGAGGACAGGAGAGUCAGCCUACAGCCGGAGGAGCUGCAGGCUAAACUAAACAUGCCACCACUUGACCACCAGGGCUUGCAGCAUUAUGUCCCCCACCUUGACAAAGGUAAGAAGAAGGGAGGGAGAGACAUUAAGAUAGAUUUUUACAUCUCACCCACCUACACACAUCAUAGACCCUAUGCACUUUUCACACACACUAUACCCCUCACACACACACAACCUCCGCAUCACACAGACUGCCCCCUCACAAACACACUCUGCAACCCUCACACACACUGCGCCCCCCUGACACACACUACACCUCUCAGUCACUCUACCCCACAUAAACUAUCCUACACUGCACCCAUCACACACACACUGCUAAAAAAAAACAACGUCCUUUCUAAAAACAAUAAAUUUAAAACAAAUCAGGCUUGUGCUAUAAAAUUAGUUACUGUGGCACUGGUAGGCGGUAAGGGAAUUUUACCAUUAACAAAGAUACAAAAGUGGGCAGUAGUUAUUAAAAGGUUGACUACCCCUGAUCUACAUUGUUUAUAGGAAAACUUUAGUGUUAAGAUCUAUUCCUAACACAAAAUGGUCACUCAGCAAUCCUUCGUCCCUAUGCUCCACCCUCCUAUAUAUUUAUUCUGUUUGUAUAUAUGACAUAUGAUUUUUAAUAUUUUAAAAAAUAACUUUAAAAAUUUGUGUAAAAGUAUUAAAUCAUUUGAAAAACUUUUGCAAAAAUAUUAAACUGAGGCCUAGGUGUCAGUACAUCUAAUGUGUCCACUCUCAUUCAGAUUGCAACUUUGCAGGUUUCUGUUACUAUUACCGAGCACUCCCAACUGCGUCAGAGUUUUAAUUUGGAACCUUUCUCUCCUGUUAAGAUUUUUUUCCCCAGAGCUUCAUACCAGAAACAAGUACCUAUAAACCACGUCAGUUCGCUUUCAAAGAUGCUCAAAACUGGCUAUGCCAAGACAUUGCUACCCAGACAGGAGCACUUAAGCGACACUCUGUUUUGUGGGUAGCCUUGCCUGUCAAUCUGAUACAUUUCUGAAAAUAUUUUGAUGAUACUUCAGACUGCUAUCCAUACUAUCAUCUUACAGAUCGCAUUUGUCCUGGAAUAGAAGAACCUGAUUUGACGUUCUUCUCUUGCCUUCAGAGCACCAGCUAUUGCAUGUUGGGCUUUUUUUUUUUUUUCAUUAUUAUUGUGAUAAGAGAUGUUAUAGUUUAUUUCUGGGGUUUAUUUACUUACCAAGCAGUGACGAAAGCUGAGUUGGAGAAUUACCCCAAAGCAGAUAUGUCAGCCUUAAUUUUGCCAUUCUGAUUUUAAAUCGCUACAAUGUAGAGUUUAGUGAGUAAACCCCUGUGUAUAAGUUUACUCAAUGGAAGUAGCCCUCUUUAAGACCUCAUUGAUCAGAAGCACCAUUUAUCUGACCAAAGACCAUAUAGGUAACAAGAGCUUGCAAUGUUUAUGAAUCCUGAUCUCACGUACGAGCCCUGGGAAUUUCAGAAAAAAACUCAGACCAAUGCAGCAAAUUGCACAGUAUUCUAAGGAUUCCUAUUAAAUAUUUUCAUGGGGGUCAAAUCAAGGCUAAUAUUAAUAGGUUUUGUUACCAUAACUGUAACAGCACAGAUUAAAAACAAUACGAUGUUGAAGAAUUAAUAUUCUGAAAAAGGUCUGUUUGUUUCCAAGUAUAAUGGCCCUUGAUAAAGUUUGCACACAGACAGGAUGUAUACCUUAACUUGUAAGGCUGACAGCAUAAUGAAUGGGUUCUCCAGAUUCUAGUAUGUUUUACAAACCUCUAAAAAUGUUCAGAUGACAUUCAGCCUUCUUAAUGUCAGAGCUUCAUAGAGGGAAGCAGCAAAAAUCAUUGCUCUCGUUAAUCCAUUCGUCCCUAAUUCUCAGUGCAACAGGGAAACCGAAAGCUUAUUUUGUUUGUGUAAGUUAUGCAAAAAGGUCUUACUCUAUAAAAGUGCUAAAUAAAUUCUCCUGGCUUCAAGUUGUAAAAUUCUGUUCAUAAAUAAGUACAAAACCUAGCCAAGUUUUCUGCAAAAAAAAAAAAAAAUGCACAAAGUAUAGAAAUGUAUUAGACUUAAUGAUAUGCACUCCCCCGUGGUAGUAAACGCUUUAAGCAAGAGAGAUAAAAAUCUGCAAAAUUAGAUGGAAAUUUGAAUAGAAUGAUAUUACAUUAUGACAUUUUCCAUUAACUGUUCCAAUGAUGGCUAAAAUGACUCUCUGAGUCUAAGUGACUUUAUAGUCCAAAACAGCAAGUCAUCCAUUUGAAUGGCUGGGUGUAAUGGAAUCUCAACUACUUGAUGGCUUUCUGAAGAUUAGAUAUCACUGAACUUUACUGUAAGGAGAAUACAGUGUAGUGGAAUACAACUCCCAUCACUUAUUUUGUAAGCAGCUGGAUACAUUCUUUUGUUUGUUUUUUUGUCAAAGAUUUUGUGGACAGUUUAAGAGAGAACGUAGAUUUUUUUUCCUCUGCUAGAUAAUGCAUUAUUUAUAGUGUAGAGGAUAUUGGAAAACCAGUCUCUCUACUUAAGUGAAACAAAUGAUGGGACUAUGAAUGUAAUGUAUGUUCUGGGGCCCUAUGCAAUCAUAGGUUCCCUCUGCAAUCUGUGAUGUAGGUCCUACCUAAAAACUGUGUCUGGGUUGUUACAGCUCAUGAUAAGGAUAGUCUUAUAGUCAAAUAUAUUUCCUGAUGGAGAACACCUCUUCUAUUCAAAAGGGAAAACAGAUGUUUAAGCUAUUGCUAAUUGCUAUAAGCAGGAUUGAACCAGGCCUCCCCAGAAUGUGACAUAUUAUCCAACUUAAAGGACCACUAUAGUGCCAGGAAAACAUACUUGUUUUCCUGGCACUAUAGUGCCCUGAGGGUGCCCCCACCCUCAGGGACCCCCUCCCACCCGGCUCUGGAAAGGGGAAAAGGGGUAAAACUUACCUUUUUCCAGUGCUGGGCGGAGAGCUCUCUGCCUCCGAUCCUCCUCCAUUCUGCCCCGUCGGCUGAAUGCGCACGCGCGGCAAGAGCUGCGCGCGCAUUCAGCCAGUCGCAUAGGAAAGCAUUAUCAAUGCUUUCUUAUGGACGCUUGCGUGCUCUCACUGUGAUUUUCACAGUGAGAAUCACGCAUGCGCCUCUAGCGGCUGUCAAUGAGAGGAUUUGGGGGAAGGCUUAACCCAUUGAUAAACAUAGCAGUUUCUCUGAAACUGCUAUGUUUAUAAAACAAUGGGUUAACCCCAGCUGGACCUGGCACCCAGACCACUUCAUUAAGCUGAAGUGGUCUGGGUGCCUAGAGUGGUCCUUUAAGGUUGAAAACCAGAGUACCACUGACAGCUAGACUUAGACUAAAAGUGACACGCUAUGACAGAGCAUGUCCGCUAUUUUGAAGUUCACCCAUGGUGCAAAUUAGAUGACUGAUGUUUAGGAGACAGUCACUAAAUGUAGACUUUAUUCACAGAUAAUGUGAGAAGUGACCAACAGAAAAAAAAGGAAGAGCAAUAAAAAUAAAUACAUCUAUAUUUAUAUUAUGCAUAUAUUUUGUAAAACAAUAAUUUGCCCAUUUUUCUGCCCUUGGUUGAUCUGAUUUGUUUCCCAAAUUAGGUUCUCAUUACUGAAAUUCUGCCGAGCUGAAUUGCCAUAUGGUGGAAGAAAAUAUUCUUCCAAAACAAAUGUUCCUGUCUCCUAGUCUAUUGACAGUGAGCUGUGUUAGUGUCCUUCGUUCCAAAGUUGAGAAGCGGUAAACCAGCAUAUGAGGGGCAUGUAUCCUGGGCAGCUGGGCAAGUUCUUGUGCAUGUGCAAAGCACUCUAGCAUGUGCCUGCAUUGUGAGCUGGAUUAACCACGUGGUGAUCUUAGGUGGCUGCCUAGGGCUCAGAGGUUAGGCAGGAACCAUGAAUUUACAUGGCCUAACUUACCAUGCCUGAGUGACGAAUGAAGGUGAGGCCCCAACCAGUACCUAAACUUCCUAGGUCUCUGUAAGAUCUUAAUCCUCCUCUACCUACGUUAGUACAUUCGAUGAUGAUUUUCACAUUAUAUCUUGAGUGGGUUUUAGAGGAUUUUCUUGUCUGUUCUUUUAAAGCAUGAUACACCACAAUGUCCUGGUACGCUGGAUCUGAAAUAAAUGAUUGACAUGCAGCUGCAAACACAGAUCUAAUACAAGGCUUAGUAUGGGCCUCACAAUUAUUAUUUUAUUAUUUUAUUAUUUUAUUAUUUAUAUAGUGCCAGUAAAUUCCAUAGCGCUGUACGAUGGGCGAUGCAUGGAAAGGACACCUAUAAAGCCACAGAUAUCCUUGUUGGGGUCAUACGUUUAAAUGCCAGUUUAUUAACUUGGAAAAGGCUUUCUUAAUAUUUAAACAUUUGUCACCUCACCACCACAAACUGUUCUUUGAAUUAAACCCAUCGGUUUCAUGCACACCUAUUAAAUCUCAUUUGUGUAAGAAUUGUGCUUGUGACUAUUAAUAAAUACUGACAAAUACCAUAAUACCUCCUUGAUUUUCUAAGCAACUGCCAAGUUAGCUGGCAAAAACUCAGGAUAGUUCAGCUGAAUCAUGCAAAGCUCAGCAGAUACAACUUGGCACAUUCACUUAGGACCAAGUUGCACAAAGAUCCUGCCAAGUUAACUAAACUGCUGCAUGAACUUGUGUAGAGAAUAAUAUCAAUAAUAAUUGUUAUAUUAACAAGUUGGGUUUUUUUAGGUCGGAGACUCUGAUGUUUUUUUCUUAUUUGACCUGGCAUAUAAUAAUUAGUGGAUUAAUCAACUGAACUAUCUGAUUGGCUACAGUUAUAAGCUUCGGCCAGGAAUCUUUCCAUAAGCUUAAGGUUCAUCUUGGCUGGAUCCAAGCUGUCUUUGUCUUCUUUGGCUUUUUAUCCAGUGAUUCUCAAAUGGAAAUCAGCCCGGACUGAUCAAGGUUGCACAAAAGGUUCACAACUUCAAUUCCAGUUGUUAUUGAAAUAAAAGGGAUCCACCUUUAAUAAUUUGGUUCUCUAAAAAAAAUAAGUAAAAGCACAUACCGUAAUUAUUGGUAAUGAUAGGUUUUUCCCAUCCAGUGUGGUAACAACAACUGCAACUGCAACAUGCAACUUUUGUUCCUUCUCUGCCGUAUCUAAAGCCAGUUCUAAUUCAAGAUAUAAUCUAGUCGAAGAGUGGAAGAGAACCAAACAGAUAUAAAAUAGUUGAAGGGUGAAAGAGAAUAGAGUACGAACGACGAUAUAAUCUGGUGAAAGAAUGGAAAAGAAAAGAAAGAUAGAUUUUAAAUACUUCUAAAGAAUUGUGGAUCUGUUCCAUGGUGCUCCAGGUGUGGUAGCAGACUCUAUAUGUUUCCCUGAGUGCAACAGUACUUUUGGAAUUAGAAAGGAAAGGCAAAAAUAUAACCUGACUGUAAUAUCAGAGCAAACAGGGUAUUUUGGGAAUAUGCCCAGAAGUGAACUGUGAGCGUGGUACAAUGGCGGCUAUUUGGAACCCUACUUAUCAGUCAAUGGAAUCUUAAACCUCUUAAAAAAGCUAGAUGUUGAUAAGGCUUUACAGCUAUGACUAUAGAAGUGAUACAGUCUCACUGAUGACCAACAAUACGUCUUUAAUAACAUUUACAUAAAUUGUGAAAAAUAUAAUGCGCGAUAGACUUGUCUUCAUUUUAACGAUGUACUGACCUGUGGUUGUAUCUAUAUUAUUUAAUAUAUUUUCUCCUUAUCAUUUUGGUUUGGUAAUAAACACUAUAUCAAAUGACACCUUCAUGUCACAACUUGUACAAGCACCAACUAGAAUGGAUGCUUGUCUGGACCUGGUUUUAACAAACAACGUUGAUCUUUUGACCAACAUUCAAGUAGGUGAGCACUUGGGAAAUAGUGAUCACAAUAUAGUGUCCUUUGAAAUAAACUCAAAAAAACAAAAGCACAUGGGGUAUACUAAAACAUAUAAUUUUAAAAAGGCCAAUUUCAAUAAGUUAAGGGAAGCUUUACAAUAUAUUGACUGGCAUAAACUCUUUAGUGAAAAGAACACUGAUGAUAAAUGGAUCAUCUUCCAACAAAUAUUACAAAGGUACAUUUCUCAGUAUGUACCAUUGGGAAAUAAAUAUAAAAGAAACAAAUUAAAACCAACAUGGCUUAGUAGAGAAGUAAAACAAGAGAUUACAACUAAGAGAAGGGCAUUUAAAGCAUUUAAAUCGGACAAAUCAGAUGCAUCUUAUAAAAGAUAUAAGGAUGCAAAUAAUGCGUGCAAAAAGGCAAUUAGACUUGCUAAACUUCAAAAUGAAAUAAUGAUAGCUGAAGAGAGCAAAACCAACCCCAAAGCAUUUUUUAAGUACAUAAAUUCUAAAAAACCCCAAAAUGAAAGUGUAGGUACACUAAAAACUGAAAAGGGGGUGUUAAUUAAUGAAGACCAGGAAAAGGCAGGAAUUUUAAAUAACUUUUUCUCCUCCGUAUAUAUUAAGGAAGAACCCAUGGCAAUAGAUGUGCAAAUGAUUGCUACUAAAAACUUGCAGAAUAAUUGUAAUUGGUUAACUCAAGACAAGGUGCUGCAGCAACUAAAGAAAGUUAAUAUAAACAAAGCUCCAGGGCCUGACGGUAUCCAUCCACGUGUACUUAAGGAACUAAGUGCAGAAAUAAGUGAACCUCUGUUUUUAAUCUUUCAAGAUUCUUUUCUUUCAGGAAGUGUUCCGGAGGAUUGGAGGAAGGCAGAUGUGGUUCCUAUAUUCAAAAAGGGUUCAAAAUCCUUGCCUGGAAAUUAUAGACCUGUGAGCUUAACUUCUGUGCCUGGUAAAAUAUUUGAAAGUUUAUUAAGGGAUAAUAUUCAAGAAUUCCUUGAGAAGAACAUGGUUAUCAGCAAAAAUCAGCAUGGUUUUAUGAAGCACAGGUCAUGUCAAACUAACUUGAUUGCGUUCUACGAAGAAGUAAGUAGAAGUAUAGAUCAGGGUGUUGCCGUGGAUGUGAUCUAUUUGGAUUUUGCCAAGGCAUUUGAUACAGUUCCACACAAUAGAUUAGUGUUCAAACUCAAGGAAAUCGGUCUAGAUGAAAAUGCUUGUUCUUGGGUAGAACAUUGGCUUAAAAACAGAGUACAAAGAGUUGUCAUUAAUGGUAAAUUUUCAAGCUGGACAGAGGUGGCAAGUGGUGUCCCUCAGGGGUCUGUUCUGGGACCCCUUCUAUUUAACAUGUUUAUAAAUGAUCUUGAAGAUGGCAUUGAAAGUCAUGUUUCAGUGUUUGCAGAUGACACAAAACUUUGUAAAAUAAUACAAUGUGAGCAAGAUAUUACUUUGCUGCAGAGGGAUUUAGAUAGACUGGGGACUGGGCACUCAAAUGGCAGAUGAAAUUUAAUGUUGAAAAAUGCAAAGUUAUGCACUUCGGCGUAAAGAAUACACAAGCAACGUAUACCCUUAAUGGAAGCGAAUUAGGGAUAACAACACAUGAAAAGGACUUGGGAAUUGUUAUAGACAACAAACUAUGCAACAAUGUGCAAUGUCAAUCAGCAGUGGCCAAGGCCAGUAAGGUAUUGUCAUGCAUGAAAAAGGGCAUUCAUUCUCGGGACAAGAAUAUAAUUUUGCCUCUUUAUAAAUCACUGGUAAGACCCCAUAUUGAAUAUGCUGUGCAAUUUUGGGCACCUGUUCUAAAGAAGGAUAUUAUGGCACUAGAAAAAGUGCAGAGGCGGGCUACAAAAUUAAUAAAAGGAAUGGAACAUAUCGGCUAUGAAGAAAGGUUAACAAAUUUAAACCUAUUUAGUUUAGAAAAACGUCGCCUGAGAGGGGAUAUGAUAACAUUAUACAAAUAUAUUCGGGGCCAAUACAAACCAUUGUGUGGAAAUCUAUUCACAAACCGGACUUUACAUAGGACACGAGGCCAUGCGUUUAGACUGGAAGAAAGAAGAUUUCGUCUAAGGCAAAGGAAAGGUUUUUUUACUGUAAGAACAAUCAGGAUGUGGAAUUCUCUGCCUGAGGAAGUGGUUUUAUCAGAGUCCAUACAGAUGUUCAAACGGCUACUAGAUGCAUACUUGCAAGAACAGAAUAUUCAAGGAUAUAAUCUUUCAAUGUAGGGUAAUAACUGCUUGAUCCAAGGAUAAAUCUGACUGCCAUUCUGGGGUCAAGAAGGAAUUUUUUUCCUAGCUUGUUGCAAAAUUGUGCUUCAAACUGGGUUUUUUUGCCUUCUUUUGGAUCAACAGCAAAAAACAAAUGUGAGGAAGGCUGAACUUGAUGGACGCAAGUCUCUUUUCAGCUAUGUAACUAUGUAACUAUGUAACUAUGUAACUAUGUAACAUCGUACCGUGUAAAAAUAUAAAAAGUUCUACAGGAAAGAAAAUAAUAAACUGAAAAUUAUUCUCCGUGAUCCUUCACUUUUAAACCUGUUUUUAUAACAGUUGUUUUCCUGCAAUGGAGACAGCUUUUUGUUUUUCUUACAUAAUUUUGUUAUAAACUACUCUUUAUACUCUAUAUACCGCUGCAAAUUUCUUUUACUAACUGUACACGAUGUAUGCUAGGCCUCCACAGUAGCGUGCAAUCAGUAUGCCACUAAAUUAUAAAUGUUUAUAAACACAUAUAAUAAACCCACUUGCUAAGGAAGUAAAAGCAUGUACACUAGUAUAAUUACACCUCUGUGAAAAAUACCUGUAUUACUCUGCUUAUCGAGUGGAAAGUGCUAGCUCAUUAUAUUUCUAAUGCUAUAAAUUACAGAUGCUUGCAGGGAAUAUAAAUUGGGCUAUUUACCAUAAACACUAUGUUUAAGAGAAUAAACCUACAAACAUAGCAUUUUUUUAAGGCAGGUUAAAUGAGUGCAGUAUAUACAGCCAAAAGAAAGCUUGUUUUUUUCUCAUUUUGGGUUUUGCUAACUAAUUUUAAAAUGGCUGUCACUUUUUUAAGUGUUUUUGAAGGUGACAUUUCUUUUUUUGGCGCAGUAGGAUGGGGGUGAACCUAAGCUUAGAUAUACUUACCUAAAGCUCUCCUUCAUGGGCCACACCAUCUUUUUCUUUAAAUCCUGGCACUUCAUCCACUAGGAGCCUGUGUCACUGCUGUUCUCUUGUGCAUAUGCAAGAAUACAAUGUGGUCUAUGAAGGUCCCAGAAGACUGCGGCAUCCUCUGUAGCCCAAUUUUCACUGUGAAUUAGAAGAUGCCUGUCUCUCACAGCCAACGCUAACGAUGGUUGUGGUAAUUGACAAAAUUUAAUGACAGAAACAUCACUUUUUGUUUACAUUUUUCAAACUAGACUUUGCCAAAAAGACAAAGUAGACCAUAUCUUUUGAUUGAGUUGGAAUUUCAUUAAAAUUCCAUUGUAGUCAAAAUGCGUAUUUGAUACAGAUUGAUAAGAAAAACUCAUAAAGGGAUCAGAGGUGAUAGAGACACCUUAAGAAUAAGAUACAAUAUAGGCUGUGUGUAACGGAUCACCUGGCACCCCAACUGACUGUUGAAGGAUGCUCCUAGCGCUUCCUGAGGGCUCCAAGCACUCCAACCGACACUAUAACCACCGUAGACUCCUUCAGAGAGCAAGACAGGAACAAGCUCUUGAGAUUAUAGCAAGGGAAUAUGCAGAGCAUAGCAAUCCCUUGUAGCAGAUUCCCCCAAUAAGAGACAGGACUCAGAUUGAGGUGCUGGCACAUACAACCUCUUUUAUUCACAAUUCACAAACAUAGUACUGCCCACAAGGUUUUGAAAUACAGCCAAUCAAUCCGUACAAUACACACAGACACUCCCACACAAAAUCCUCCCCUCUGCCUGUGAUAUGAUUACUGAACACAAUGGUUAAUAUAAUUAUCACAGGCAGAGAAAUACAGUUUUUACAAAAUAGUAAUAACUUCAAAAAUAUACAUGCCACAAACAUAUAAAUUACAUAUUCGAACUCAGCACACUUUAACUAUAAACAUAUCCAAAAUUCAGCCAAUUCCAUCCAGGGGUUAAAAAGUUAGCUGGAAGUCCCUUUUUGACUGACCGCAAGCACAUUUUCAUGCCCAAAAUAGAUUUGGGCUGUGCGGUCGGUCUAUUUCAGGCUGAAAAAACGACUAAGUCCCACCGCCGAAUGGGACUUAGUCUCUGCGGCUGCAAAAUCAUUGUGGGAGAAGGUAAGGCUCAGCAGUGUUCGCGGAACUGUGUAGCCGAUUUCAGUUCCAUGAAUUUGGCUACACACAACGCUGACCACAUUGAAUAAAAAAAGAUGGCCCCAGCGUUCGGCAAUAUACCUACAGGGGAUAAAAUCUGCAUCGCUAGGGAUAGAACAACGUGUGUCUAUGGAUAAAACAGCAUUGUGUAAAGGAAGGAGGAAAGAUAAAGGUCAAAUAGAUCCUCAAAAUAUCUCUGCAGGGAUUUACCAACCUCCACCAGUGCCCCAUUCAAUCAUCCAUACUCUGCCUAUUGUCCUACCUCCACUCCUUCAGCUUAUAAUAACCUAAUUAUCAAAUGCUAUAAACGACUUGCCCGGCUUCUUUCUUUGAUAAUGCAGUCCCUUAGUCUUUGUUACAGGCUUCCAUGCUGUUCGGAACAGACAGUGCCCACAUGGGUUUAUGCCGAACCCAUCCAUCAUUGGGAAAACACUGAUAGUGGAUUAAUCAAACCAUUGCUCCAUGCUUUAGGCAUCACAUCAAUCGGAGCACGGUACAUCUGGAGGAGACAUGUGGGGCAUGCUUAAGGGGGCACUCCAAACACAAUAUUCUAUGAUUCCUGCAUAGGUUAUGGUGUCAUCAAUUCUUGUCUAUUUGUACUCAGCUAUAAAUCCACUCCUGCUAUCAUCCCUCGAUACCCUGACUGUCUACCUUAUAGAUAUCUCUAUGAUUGAUGCGUCUAGUGACAUUAGUGAAAAAACAUCAAUGGAGCUAUUUUGGAGGAUAAUAGAGGGCACGCCAGGGAUGUAUUUACCACAAGGCAAACCAGGCAUUUGCCACCCCAAGCUCCCAGACAAAUGCCUUGUUUGCCUCAUGUUCUGGGGCUGUCCACCUUACUGUGAGUAAGUGUAGCUGUCAGUGUGUGUCUGUGAGUGAGAAUGGGUGUGCCUGUGAAUGUGUGUCAGUGUGUGUAUGUCAUUUUCUGUGUAUCUGAGAGUGUGUGCCUCUCAGUGAGUGGGUGUGUCAGUGUGUGUCUGUCAAUGAAAGUGUGUGUUGGUUAAACAGUGUGUGCCAAUGACUGUAUUUGUGUGCCAAUGACUGUGUAUCUGUCACUGAGUAUAUAUCAGUGCAUGUAUCAAUGAGGGCAUGUGUCUGUCAGUCAAAAAAAUGGCCUUGACACGAAUUGGGGGGGGGGGCAAAGUUAGAUUUUGGGGGUGCCCAAAUUUAGUCGUGCCUAGGGCAGCACAAAUCCAAAAUACACCACUGGGGCACUCACCAGAUAUAUUAGGAUGUGUAGUAACUUCAUGUAUAUAUUUAAUUAAUAGGAUGGUUUUUUUUUUCUUGACCCUAUGUAGUUUGUCUUUUAAUGUCUGGUUUUCCCAAUACAUCACAAGGUGAUAUUAUAUCUAUGACAUUUUUCUUUGUAUAACACUGGGUUAUAUCUGUCUAUAUUUUGUAUAUGUAGUAUGGCAAUAUAUAUGUGCUUUUAUUGUUGUGUACGUAAAAGAAUAUCAGUAUACCGUGGCAUAACCUUAGUAGCCCAAAGCAUCAUAUGGGUUACUUUUGUGUAGUUUGGUAAGACUUUGUAACUACAUGGAGCUAUGCCUUUUUUACUUAUUAACUAUCUUACAUAUUGUGGUUAUAUGACCCAUAGUAAAAACAAAGAGAAAGUUACCUGCAUUCUGGCCCAAAUCCCUAUGUACAUUUGAACAAAAUGGAGGCUGUUUAGUUUCAUUUCAAUGGCCAUUUGAAUAUAAGCUCAUCUGCCAUGUCAAGGCAAGCCUCAAAAGGUAAAUCCUACACUUGCCAUGAGAUUUGCUGAUACCAGCCAAGAAUCUCCAGUAAGACAGGGAGGGGUAUUUUAAAAACCCUUUCACAUUUAACCCUUUAUAGGGCUUCUACACAUACAAUACAGUUUACUGGUAUCAGACAAAGGUAAACACCUCUAAUGAGACAUGAAGGGGUGUUUUAUAAACUGCUACAUACUUAUUAACCAUAAAUAGGGCUAUAACACAUAACAUACAAAUUACCUUGCCGAUAUUAGCUAGAAGGCAAAUUUCUCUGUUGAGACAGGAAGGAGUGCUGCCCGUACAUACUUAUAAACUCUUAAUAUCAAUGGUGAUAUUGGUGGGUUUAUAGUUUAUGUACCGUUUGCUUAGUUUACAUCUGUUUAUAUUGUAUAGCUGAAUAUGUCAUUGCUUAUUAUGGUCUUAUCACAUAAUAACAUUGUAUCAAUAAACACUUUUGCGUAAUGACAUUGGUGUGCUAUGAUUUGAUGUUAAUUAAAGAGCUGUACUCCCACCUGGCACUGUAAGGGUUAAGUCCGUCUAACGAUGAGAUAGCCGUCUGGAUGAUGAGUGGGAGGCCAGCACGUCAUUUACAUGAACAGCAGAGAAAGCCUGCAGUGUUUUUAUAAAGAGCAUCGAUCGAUCAAUCUAGCAAGUAUCCCUGCUUUGAGAAAUCGAUCAAUAAAGACAUUGAACAAUUCUUUUAAACCAUUUAAUUUCAAGGUAAAAGCACGUUCCUAUAUCAGAAAAAGGAUGCACUAAAAUCUAUCAAACAAACCACUUCUGCUUAUAUUAACAUGAUGUAUUGUGAUUAUUCGUCUUUCAGACAAUCAUAGCUAAAAAACACACUUCAAGGAGCGUUCGUUUUGGGAUAGUCCCAAGUGUCACAAAUGAAGAUGGAAAAUGGUAGAUUUUAGAAGAGGGGUGGUAAAGCUUUACCCCCUCCAGCUCUUUUAGAACUACAAUUACCCUAAUGCUUUGGCAAUUUCUGUAGUAGUACUAAGAUUACAUUUUGGCCACCCAUAUUCUAGACCAGGGCUGCCCAACAGGUAGAUCUCCAGAUGUUGUAGAACUACAACUCCCAUGAUCCUUUGUCAUUCUAAAUGCAUUCUAAAGGCAUGCAAAACAUCAAGGGAGUUGUAGUUCUACGCCAUUUGGGUAUUUACCUGUUGGGCAGCCCUGUUCUAGACUAAGAACAUCAGAACAAGCUAUAUUAGCAGCCAUAAUAGAUACAUUAUAGCUUAGCUAAUAUUAAACUACAACAACCACACUGCUUUGCAAGAUACCGUUUAUUCAAUUCGACAUUUGCAUUGCUCAGCCAUGACAUGACCUGUUAGCCAGUUAAAAAUUGUUGUUAUACUUUUAAUUAGUAAUAAACAUUGCUUGUGGCAUUAGUGGUAGGAUGUUAUGCAUACAUGUUUUGCACAUUAUUUGUUAUUGAGUAAGCCUUGUCACUAUCUAUUUUUUUCUUAUGUUUUGUUUUAUAUACCAUUGGGACCAGUGCUACCAUUAGUGCUACCAUUAGGCGAAAAAGGCAUUCACCUGGGGCACCGGCCUUUGGGGGGCGCCCACCGAGAGGUUUCCUGGUGGGCUGCCCUGCUACUGCUGUCUGGGGAUGCUGUGCCGGGCGAGCGGCUCCUUAGCCAGCCCCAGCGCAGCCAUUCAGCUGCUGGUCUGUCACUGCAGUUGAUUACCUGCUCGGGGAAUGUGGUAUGCUGUAACCCCAGCACCUGAGCAGAGCACUGUGCUUCCUGCAGGCAGGGGAAGCCGGGAUAUGACCUGGUAUCCCAGCUGCCCCCUGCCUGUGAACACCGGAAGAACAGUGAAGGGAGCCGGAAGCAGCCUGUGCUCACAGUGCACGGCUCUCCUCCUCCCCCAGCAGAAAGAACAAUAUCCUGCAGCCUUGACCUCUUCUUAUCUUCACAGCACCCAGGUAUGGCAUAACUGGAGGCUAAGGGAGAUUGUUUAUUGUGUGCAUGUUUAUACAUUGGUGUGUGAAUAAAAUGUGACUUUAUAUAAAGUGGUGUGAGUUUGUGUUUGAGUGACAGUGUGUGUGUUAGUGAGAGUGUGCAAAUGACUCUGGGUAUGUGUGUGUGUUAGUGAGAGUGUGCAAGUGACUCCGUGUGUGUGUGUGCUAGUGAAAGUGUGCAAGUGAAUAUGUGUGUGUGUGUUAGUGAGAGUGUGCAAGUGACUCUGUGUGUGUGUGUGUGUGUGUGUGUAUGUGAGAUAGAGAGUGCGCAAGUGACUCUGGGUAUGUAUGUGUGUGUUUGUGUUAGUUGAGAGUGUGCAAGUGACUUUGAGUGUGUGUGUGUGUGUGUGUAUUAGUAAGAGUGUGCAAGUGACUGGGUGUGUGUGCUAGUGAGAGUGUGCAAGUGACUCUGGGUGGGUGUGUGGGUGUGUUAGUGAGAGAGUGCAAGUGACUCUGGGUGUGUGUGUGUGUUAGUAAGAGUGUGCAAGUGACUCUGGGUGUGUGUGUUACAGUGUGCUACAGUGUGCAAGUGACACUGUUAGAGUGUGAAAGUGACACUGUUAGAAGGAGUGUGCAAGUGACUCUGCGUGUGUGUAUUAGUCGGAGUGUGCAAGUGACUCUGGGUUUAUGUGUGUGUGUAUUAGUGAGAGUAUGCAAUUAGUGACUAUUAGUGACUGUGUAUGUAUGUGUGUGUGUUGCAUUCAUGAGGGGGCAGCAAAAUGAAUUGUUGCCUAGGGCAGCAAGAAUCCUUGUACCGGCCCUGUAUACCGUGUAGAUUUGUAGAAUGUAUAUUUUGUUUUCACACAUUAAAGUGAUGUGUGCCUAUAUCUAUAUUGAUACUACUGUGCAUGGUAUCUAAGGAAGUGCUUUUUGGUAGCAUCCUUCGAUUUAUUUAUUUAUUUUUGUCUAGUGUGCUGCUUCAUUGUGUGUGUUGUAGAGUAAUAUAUAUAUAUAUAUAUUUGGCAUUCUAGCAGUUGUGGACUACAGUUUCCAGUAAUGCUCAUAUUGCUGAAUAAUCAGUGAUAGAGAUAGAGAUACAUGGCACCAUUCAUGGACAUAAUUAAUGAAUUAUUGAUGUAACCAUAGCUUACACCAAAGCCAGGGGAACAAACAUUUAGCAAAGCUUCAUGAACAGUACCUGCAGAGGUAGACGUUGGGCCUCUCCUUGUGUCUUUAAUCUUGUGAUGGCAGGGGAAUCUGUUUAGAAAAGCUACUCACAUAGUCAUUAGUAGGGGGUGUGAAUUAGGGCAUCUCAGGAGCACAGAAUACCUCCAGCUAUUGACUCUAGUGUAUAAAGCCCAUGGUGAACUCACUAUUUACUGAGCAGCCAUCUAUGUUACUGCACUUUCCCAGCGACUUCUUCAAGCAGGACUCUGUGUGAAAGUUUGUGUACAAUCGGAAAAAGUCUCACUGCGAUCAUAUAUUUUUGUACUGUGUGUACUUUGAGUCUCUCAUUUUAGUUCUGCCCAGCAGUUUACUUUUUUUUUUAAAUGCAUGAAUCACAAGCUUGUUUGAGCAGAGCCUUCUUUACCCCUGAUAACUAGUCUGCAAGUUACGGAAUAUGACAUCACAUGAUCUCUGCAGCCUUGUGUUUUGUUUCGUUUUUUUUAGUUUAUAAAGUGUGAUACAAUUCCAAGAUGGCCGCCUCCAUGAUGAACCACUGAUAGAUCUUCGAGUGGUAAUUGUAGAUACACUCCCUAAACCAUAUUUACAUUAAAUACUAUUAAUUUACAUUAUUAUUGGAAACAAUUAUUAAUAUUGGAAACUCACAUUGAUUUUAUCAGAUACAGAUUAAUGAACAGAGCACACAUAGAAGUACAUUUUUGAAUUUUAUAAUGCUACUUAAAAUCACCUUUCUCAGUAAACAAAUAUAGGGAUUCAGUUGUACCAUAUGGCCAUAUUGUGUUAAGCCCAAUACUACGCCACAGUACCCCAAUAUCGGUGGGUCCUACACUAACUCCAAAUGUGGGAGACAAAUUAAAUAAUGCAAGUGCUAAAUAAGCUAAAGUGUAUUUAAAUAAUCUGUUGUAAGAGCAUUGUGAAUAUCUAUAAUGCAAAAUUAAUGUGAUAAACACAAUUAAAGAAAAAUGCAGUGUCAAAACUAAACAAUUAAAGUGAUAGUGCUUUGAUAUAUAUUCUCACAAUGCAAUUCAUAUAUCUAACCUAUGAAAAUUAUAAUAAAAGUGACUAUGGAUUACCAUCCAAAACCUCCUCACAUAUAUACCUGGGGUCACCAGUUGAUUUUACCAGAAGUGGAUCUGAAGGUUAUAGCUGGUAAUGUUGUAAUGCGACUUGCCAGUGUCCCAAAUUGCAGGAGAUCGUGUCAGGUUUAAAUGCAAAGUUUAAUUAAGUCUGUGAAAACCUGAAAUUCAUCAACUCUUGGGGACUCUCAGUCCAUUUUUAGGAUAUAGGAAUUUAAAUUGAUUGUUAACCCAAACAUUUUUGAAACUGUCUUGAUCGUAUGAUUGAGCCGCACCCAAAGUUUUCUUCAAAAACCCUCAAUAUUUUAUUCUGUUUCAUAAAUUAGUAGCCUUUGUAGCCUUUGUUAAGUUUGAACAUUCCUUAUUUUGAUGCAUACAAAUGAAAUGCAUAUAUAACUAGAUACGUUUCUAAUUACUAUCUACUAAUUAUUAUUAUUGUUAUUAUUAUUGAUAUUUAUAUAGUGCCAACUAAUUCCGCAGCACUUUAUAAUAUUAUGAAAGGGGGGGAUUUUUACAAUAAAUGAGACAAUUACACAAUGACUUGAAGGUAAUCAGUGAAAUUGGCAAUUUCAGAGUUUAUAGUUAUAUGAGUGCAGAACACACAUGGUUUGUUUAUUUUUCUCUAAUAUACCAGCCGUUAGAAACCAAGUGUUAGCAAGUGUUAGCUUGUUUUUCUCCAUCAUGUGUUUAACAAGGAGAUCAAGGUAAGAAACAAUUCUCAGGAAAGCUGUGAGGAUCUGUCUUGACUAAAUAUAAACCCAUUAGCUAGACACAAUACACAUUAAAUCAGGAAACAGCUUAUUGUGAACAAACUAAGUCUCAUCAUGCACACAAAGUUACAUUGUUAUAAAAAAAACUGUUUAUUGUUUAUGUAAGUGACAAAGUACAGAAGAGAAAUCUGGAAAAAUCUAUACAAUAAAAGCAAUGUAUUCAUAUGAAAAAAUAAAUUGUGCAUGAAGAGGUGAGCAGCGCCUUGGGGGGUGUCCUCAAAUCCGGGGCUGUGUCACUUUGAAAAAGUCUGUAAAAUAGGUGAAAUGCGUUAGUGUGUUACUUUAUUUUGUUUUGUUUUCUUGCUUUUAUAAACUAUUUUUUUUCAAUAAAGUUUAGUGUUUUUUCAACACCCAUGGACCUUCCUGCUUGUAUCCAGACAUUUGGCUCAUCAAUUUCUUUGGUGGUGAAUAUACCACCUACAUCACAUGGAUUGAGCAAAACCGUUUUUGCUCUUCAUCAGUGAGUCCAUCUCUUUUAUUCCUUUUAUUUCUACACAAUAAAAUGAGUUCUACAAUAUAUGUUUAUCUCUGUUUUAUCCACAUAUUCCAUGGUGAAAAUCCCUGCCACAUGUAUCCAAGAGUGUGGAUUGUUCCACUACACGCCAUUUACUGGGAGCCAUCAGUAGGCUCCAAAAUUGUGAGUGUACAUCUAUAUAGAUUCACUCCACCCAGUACACUCAACAAACUACACUAUAUUGGUACUAAACUCUAUUAGUGUCAUUUGUUCUUUUCCCACCCUCCAUUGGACCAAGUCAGUAUAUCCAUAGGCGGGGAAUUUACCACAAAGCGUAUCAAUUUGGAGCUAAUUUUCAGUACAAUUCCUUUUUUUCUUCCUUUUAUUACAUUGCCAACUUACUACACUAUAUUUUGCACUUUAUCUUUUUUAUCGUUACAUAUUGAUUAACACUGACCUGGAUCUGAGGACACCCAGAAGGGAGAGACUCUGGUUUUGGUUGUCCAAGCUAUCUACCUGAUUAUUUAACAAGCAGUAGAAACCCACUAUCUUUUAUCUCUGAUAUAAAAAACUAAGCAUAAAAUUCACCUCUUGAUAAAUACAUCCGAUGAUAAUAAAAUGUAUCCAUUGACUGGGCAGAUGACAACGAAAGGGGGUUAUUAAGGCAAAAUAUGUGCUAAUGUGAGUGAGAAUUGCCAAAUGCAAAGAGACAUUCCUUUGGUUUCCAUGGUAAUUACAUCUUAUUGCAGGUAUGCUCCAGACACCAUAACAACUUUAUUUAAAUUGAGAUUGUAUAGUGCAAGGAGGUCCGGGGUGCCUCAUACUUUAAAGGGUUAAAUAAUUUAUGAAUGGCUUAAUCCAAAAGUUGCAAAUAUGGUGCCCUUCCAAUCUUUUCCCUGGUUUCCAGUGCUCUGAUAUUUUAUUUUAAAACUUACACAUAUUGUAAUCAGCGUUCCCUUUAAGCUAUCAUUGAAGGCAAUCCAGUCUGAACUGGAUAAAUUCUAAGAUGAUCUUAGAUGGCUACCUAGGGUUCUGGGGUCACAAUGCCUAUGUGAAAAAUGAAGGUAGGGUCAAAACCAGUAAUUUUGUAGAGUCUGUGGGAUCCUAAUCUAUCUCUCACUCCAAUAAUAGAAGUACAGGAAAGAUCUUUGUAUCAACCUCCUCCUCUAUAGUAUUCACACCGUAUUUCUCCAUAAUGAUAUCAGUUAACUCAUGCACAUUCAAGAUGUUUUAUUCAAAGAUUAUUUUGAUUUUUACGACGAUGUGUGUAAUAAAUAUAUCUCUUUGCUGUUAUUGAUCUGGUUUAAGUGAGUAUAUUAGGUGCCAUCGAUAAAUAGCACAUUCAAAAUCCAAAGAUAUUCAACUCAGUGUAUUGGACUGAAUUUCAUGCAAUCAUUCUCUGUUUGAAAAAGUUACAACUGAACUUAGACACAGCUUGGCUAGUUUUGCCUUAAUUUUGCCAUUUGGAUUUAACUUCCGAUUUAAGUGACUAAUCCUUUAAAUGAAGCCAAAAUAUUCAUAUAGAAAACAUCUCGAUAUCUACUUUAUUUAGAAUGUAGUUAUUUCAUAUAAAAUCAGAGAUCCGUUUGUUACAAUUCCCUGUUUAGUGAAUAGACAUUAUUUUAUUCUUUUUUUGUAGCAUUUUAUUCAAAAUGCGAGUUGAGUUAAAGGCUAAUAAAACUCUUACCGGUAAGAGUUUUUGAGUUUAAUGAUUCAGCAUCAGACCGUUUGACCAUGAAGAACUAAUUACUCAUGGCUAAUAGCAGUUAACACAACAAGGUCAAUGUAAUUGCAAGCUACAAUAAAAGGGGGAAAAAAACUUAGAAAAGUCCAUUGUAGUUGUGAUCAGGAAUAAAACUUUAUUAUCCCAGUAGGAAAACAUAGGGACGCGGCAGGAUAUAAAACUAUUCAAAGAAAAUAAUGAAAAACAAUCAAAUUUAUACAUUGUUCAUUGGUAUGUAACAUGAAUUAUGUUAGUCAUAGGUUUUAACCAGUCUGAUAAUCUGUAAUAAGUUGAUUGUAUUAGUGCAUUGCAUUUAUUCAGUGAUAUAAUGUUAAUCCCUUCUAUCCCAACCCAGAAAUGGAAACAAAUGAAUAAAAUUGAUUUUACCAACUCCUUCACUCAUUCUUCUGUAUUGACGUCAUCCUAGUCUCUCCUCAUUUGACCUGCAGUGGAGCCUAUAUAGUUCCAUUCUAACAGCAAUGGGUGGGAAGAUUUGUAAGGUCUCUGGGCAUAAUGCACAUCUUAAAGGGACACUUAAAUCCCCAAAACAACUUUAGCUUAAUGAAGCAGCUUUUGUGUAUAGAUCAUACCUCUGAAGUUUUACUGCACACUUCACUGCCAUUUAGGAAUUAAAUCACCUUUGUUUCAAUUUAUACAGCCCUAGCCACACCUCCUCUGACUGUGACUCACACAUGCUGCAUGAAAGCAAAAUGGUUUAAAUUUAAAUCAGAUGUUAACUUACUUUAAACUUUUUAUCAUCUGCUCUGUAAAUUGAACUUUUAUUACAUACAUGGUCUAGUAAGCUAUUAACAAAGUAGGAGAGAGGAAAUUCUAAAUUUAACAGAAUUUGCAAUAAAGGAAGUGUAAACAUUAGAUCUCUCUUUGCAGGAAGUGUUUAGGAAGGAUAGAAACAUAGAAACAUAGAAUGUGACAGCAGAUAAGAACCAUUCGGCCCAUCUAGUCUGCCCAAUUUUCUAAAUACUUUCAUUAGUCCCUAGCCUUAUCUUAUUGUUAGGAUAGCCUUAUGCCUAUCCCACGCAUGCUUAAACUCCUUUACUGUGUUAACCUCUACCACUUCAGCUGGAAGGCUAUUCCAUGCAUCCACUACCCUCUCAGUAAAGUAAUACUUCCUGAUAUUAUUUUUAAACCUUUGUCCCUCUAAUUUAAGACUAUGUCCUCUUGUUGUGGUAGUUUUUCUUCUUUUAAAUAUAGUCUCCUCCUUUACUGUGUUGAUUCCCUUUAUAUAUUUAAAUGUUUCUAUCAUAUCCCCCCUGUCUCGUCUUUCCUCCAAGCUAUACAUGUUAAGAUCCUUUAACCUUUCCUGGUAAGUUUUAUCCCGCAAUCCAUGAACCAGUUUAGUAGCCCUUCUCUGAACCCUCUCUAAGGUAUCAAUAUCCUUCUGAAGAUACGGUCUCCAGUACUGUGUACAAUACUCCAAGUGAGAUCUCACCAGUGUUCUGUACAAUGGCAUGAGCACUUCCCUCUUUCUACUGCUAAUACCUCUCCCUAUACAACCAAGCAUUCUGCUAGCAUUUCCUGCUGCUCUAUUACAUUGUCUGCCUACCUUUAAGUCAUCAGAAAUAAUCACCUCUAAAUCCCUUUCCUCAUUUGUUGAGGUUAGGACUCUAUCAAAUAUUCUGUACUCUGCCCUUGGGUUUUUACGUCCAAGAUGCAUUAUCUUGCACUUAUCCACAUUAAAUGUCAGUUGCCACAAUUCUGACCAUUUUUCUAGUUUACCUAAAUCAUUUGCCAUUUGGCUUAUCCAUCCUGGAACAUCAACCCUGUUACAUAUCUUAGUAUCAUCAGCAAAAAGACAUACCUUACCAUCAAGACCUUCUGCAAUAUCACUAAUAAAAAUAUUAAAGAGAAUGGGUCCAAGUACAGAUCCCUGAGGAUGUGACUAGGUCUAUAUAAACAAAGUGAUUAAACUCCUAAAUGGCAGAUAAUUGAGCAGUUUGACUGUAGGGAUAUGAACAAUACACCAAAACUGCUCUAUUAAGCUAAAGUUAUUUAGGUGACUAUAGUGUCCCUUUAAGUUUAAGAUGAAGUGUAUGAUUUUAGAUAGGAGCUGUAUAUACUCUAUAUGUACAUUUAGGAAUUUUUGGAAUUUUUGGCAAUCUACACUUCUAACAAUUGAACAGCAAUGGCUGCCAAGUCACUAGUUUUCUAGUUUUCUCCAUAGGCUUUUUUUAAAGUUUCUUUUCAUUUUUACACUUUUUUAAUGUGGCUUCCAGAUGAUUACCCUCACCACCACCGAGAGUCUUUCAAAUUAUUGUUUGCUUGCAAAAAGCAUGUGAAUGAUUAUUUGCGAAGUUGUAUCCUGCAGGAUGCGUUCGAUCACCAAAUACAUCAGGCCGUUUGGUGCAGGUUUGGUCAGUAUGGCCAAAUUCCAACCUGAAUUAUCUUUUGUAAAAAUGUGAAUUGGCAUUCCAGUUGGAAUUCAUCAAUUUACACCAAAUUUUUGUGCAUUUAGACAAAAUCUGAUAUUUAGUGAAUUACCCUGUAGGUGAAGUGGAAGCAGUUCAUCUAUUUUCACCUUAAAUUUGAAGUGCACAUUAAAUUCUAGAAUUGAGAAUAACUCUGCUAAAGAUAAGUUAACAUUUUUGCACAUUGUCUUUCGACUCUGACCUCAAUUUGUGUCUUUCGAUUCUGGCCUCAAUUUAAUAUUUUUGGAUAAACUUUUCAAAUAACUUUAUAUUUUGAAAAAUAGUUUGAUAUUUUUGUUAUUGUUUUAUAUAUAUAAUCUAUUUUUUGAUAUUUUGAUAUUUUGAAAAAAUCAUUGUAAAAGUUUAAAAAAAAUAUUAAAUCAUAAUAUUAUCAUUGAAAUUAUUAAUCCAUCAAUAUUAAAUUAAGGCCUCCAUUCUUCCUUUUGAGAUCAUGGUUAACUCACUUUGAUGUUCGGUAGAAGUAUGUGAUAAAGGAAGAGUCUAACAGUAUUAAUAGGCAUUGUUUGCACAUCUGUAAGUAGAAAUCACUAAAAUAUUAUGAAUGAACCAGUGCUAUGGGCAGAUUAAAGCAGACAGUAUGACUCUUUGAAGAUUGACAUUGAGACACUGUUGAUGUCAUAAUUGUUUUUUUAUUUUUAUAUCUCACAACAGAUAACACUGAAACUAAC